CAUACUAUCCAUUGUGUAGUGUUUGAAUCAGAAUGAGCAUAUCUGUUCCUGCAAAUGUUUAUCAUUUUUUUGUGAACACAUUUAAAAUCCUUGCUUCUAGUUCUGUAAAAAUGUGCAGUUCUGGGGCAGGCAUCUGACCGAACAGUUAGGAUGCUCUUGGGACUCCCGACCCCUUACUCGAGUACGUGAAUGCAAGUCCUGGCCCCACUCCCAAUCCAGCUUCCUGCUGAUGCUGCGCUGGAGGCAGCAGGCGCUGGCUCAAGUCAUUGGAUCCCGGCCAUCAGCCAUGUGGGAGACCUGGAUUGAGUUCCAGGCCCCUGGCUGUGGCCCUGGUCCAGCCCCCGCCAUCGUAAGCAUGUGGGAAGCAAACCAGUGCAAGAGAGUUCUUCGUGUGUAUGAAUGUGUGUAUGUGUGUGUGUGUGUGUGUGUGUAUCUGCCUCUCAAUUAAAAUGUAAAAAUACACGCAGUACAUUAUCAUUAUCUGUAGUUACCCCACUGUGCAGUGGAGUGCCAGCCGUUAUACCUCCUAUCUCAUGCCGGCUUAGUACCCGCUGGCAGGCUGUUCCAUCCCUCCCUCCCCCGUACUCUUCCCCAGCCUCUGGUAACUGCUUUCUAGUACAUGUAUUCCUUAAAUAAAAAAUGUAAAAGGGGUAGAAGGCUUGAUGAAUUGCAAAAAAAAUAAAUUAUUUCCAAGUGAAAGAGUUGAGAGAAGCUUAUGAUGAUCUGGUUGGUUCAAAUUUAAGAUUUCUAAAUGUUGGGCCAGCACUGUGGUCCAGAGGGUUAAACUGCCACUCACGACACCAGCAUCCCAUGUGAGUCCCAGCUGCUCCUCCCCCGAUCCAGCUCCCUGCUCAUGCACCUGCGAAAGCAGCAGAAGAUGGCCCCAGGUCUUGGGCCCCUGCCCCCUCCACAUGGGAGACCCCGUUGGAGUUCCAGGCUCCUGGCUUCAGCCUGGACCAGCCCUGGACAUUGCAGUCAUUUGGAAAUUGAUUGCUUCUGUCUCUCCUUUUCUCUGUAACUCUUACUUUAAAUAAACCUUUAAAAGAAAAGGAUGUCUGGAUGUCAAGAAGUUCUGCGGCCCAGAGGAUGACUUUGGGGAUGGGAGGCAGAGUGAAGGCUUUGCAGUUGAUGAGGUUGGUGAGCCGAAAGGCCAAGGCUCCAUCUGGCCUCUGCACUCAGUGAUGGCAGGAUUUGGGGUGCAGGCAGGCGGGUCUCCGGGAGCUGGGACCCAGCUGCUCUGACCCAGGGCUGACCGUGUGCACGUUUGCCCUCCAUGUGAGUGAAAGGUGAGCCUUUCCCUCCUGAACUGCAGGAGUAACGGUUGUGUGAUGGGUGGUGGGAGUGGUGGUAGGUGCUGCCCGCCCUGGGUCUUAGCCAUGCAGAGGGUUUGCCUGGGGCUCACACCACCCGCGCAGACUGUGCGCGCAGGACUCCCACGCAGCUCAGCUGUCUUCGGGCCAGGAGGCUCCCCUGUCCUCCAGCAUCCUCCUGCACGGCCUCCAGGGGAGCCACCACGAGGGUGGGCAGUCUCAGGCCGGGGCAUUUGCUCCUCACCUCGGUCAAGCACUUCGCUCCCCCAGGGAGGAGGAGGAGGAAGGCCCUCCCCUAGCAGAAGCCCCUGCUGUCAGUCACAGUGAGCGCUGCGGGCCACACAGGCGCCGGCUGGCUGGCUGUGGCCAGCGUGGAGGUCCUCACAGGGUGAUGAGAUGAUGUUUUUCCUCACUGGUAGGCAGGCCGCAGAGUGGAGAUGUCCCAGCCUUGCCAGUUGCCACCUCUCCCCUCCCCCCAUCACCCACAGGGUGCGUUGGAUUCGUCCAUGGUACUUCCUGUGCACUUCCCAUAACCAUCUUCUGUUGUGUUCUGUGUGUAUUUACAGAACGCUUUGCAGUUUUGCCGGGAUAGGGAGUGCAUCUUACUGCUGUGUGUAUGCCCAGCCUCAUAGUCCUUGGCGUUGAUUGAGUACAGUGUAAUUUUUGGCAGAUGGAUGGAUGAAUAUAAAAAAGACGGAUGUUUGGCGUACAUAAAAGCUUUAGGGAAAUUUCAUUAUGAAAGUAUUAAACAAAUGCGUGUUGUUGUAUUUGUUAACAAAUAAGUCUACCAGAUGACUGAAUUCCAGUGGAAAUGGGGUAGGGAUAUUUACCAAAAAUCCUCUUCAAUUUUUUUUUCAAUUGCAGAUCUUGCUAAGUCGCAUCCUUUUUCAAAGGGAAAAACUCCACACAUCCAAAACUCAAAGUCCCACACAGCUGCUUGCACGUCGGCUUUCCUGCAGGAGUUGCAGUGCACUGUUGUGGAACACUGAGGUGGAGGCUCUGAGGUCAGGAGCUGACCAGGGCCCUCUCUUGGUCAGCAGCUUGUCCUGUGCUAGGGAUGGGCUCGCGGUCACAAGAGAAGCAGUGGAGGCGGCUGUUAACCAAGGCGAGCAGGGCGGUGACAUCUGCUGGGGGAGGACAGGCAGACAGGCACGGCUUUGCUAGGACGGUGAUGUGUGCGACACCAGCUUGGGGCUGGGGUCUGCAGUCGGCGACACCGCCUCCUCCGUCACCUUGUGGAGCCCUGAGCUCCUGUUUCGCAUUCUCCCCUCCAUUGCUUUGCUUUUCACAGAUCCAGCUGUGCUCUGUUGGAUCAUCCAUGAAUGUCUCCCUGCUUCCCCUGACCUCUCCCACCAGGCCUGACUUUCAGUGCAUCACGGAGCCCUCAGGGGCUGGGACCCCACACCCUCCAUCUUGGCCCUGGGAGGGAGGCCCAGCUCAGGCCUGGCGGAGCCCCUGUCGGGGAGCUGCAGACACAGAGAUGAGGAAGGCGUGGCGGGUGCUGGGCUUGCUGAGCGCUGACUGUCUUCCUCUUGGGGAAGGAGGAUGCUGACUUGGAGCAUCCAUCAGGGUUCUGCAGGUUGCAGCUGCACGGCCGCGGUGGUGCAGCGACGGCCUGAGCCGAUGGAGGAGUGCACCAGGACUCUGACGGCUCCUCACCAUCCUGCAGCAGCUCCUUAGCUGCAAGAGGCCUGGAGGUGGGACCAGGUCAGGGACCAUGUGGCCAUGUACCCAGAGCGAGUGCACACCUGCCUGGCAGGGGAGGGAGACCUGAGCCACGCCUGGGAAAUCGGGGGCACCAGAGGUGCUGGUGCAGAGGUGGCCUUGGUCUAUCCCUGCUGGGCGCGCCCUCCCGAGGAGCAGAUUCUGGGGUCUUUUCCCAGACCUGCAGUUCUUCCUAUGGCCUCUAGUCCACCUUUAGAAUAUUCCUGAAACUGGAAACUGUUGGGGCAUCAGACUGCGAAGAGCGUGGCCCUGGCCCCGGAGACACACUGCUCCUUAGCUCAUCCUUGGCACCCGGAACCCCUCCCGGCGAUGCCACUGUGCCUCCUGCAGUGUGUCUGGAUGUGGUGACAGCUUGUGGCUGCUGACUGUGGUUUCUGGUUUGUACUCUCCCUUUCAGGCCCAGGUGAAGGCAGAGGAAGUCCAGAGUGGAGUUGGCUGCUGAAGUGAGCACACAGCAGGGCUGGACGUAGCAGGGGUGAUGGAGACAAGCUCGCACUGGGCAGCUUGGGGCAGCAGAUGGAGGCCAGAGUGCAGCAAAAAGCAAGGUAGAGAGGCUGGCGUUGUGGCAUAAUGAGUCCAGCACCCCAUAUGGGCACCAUAUGGACUCAGGUCCCAGCUGCUCCUCUUCCCAUCCAGCUCUCUGCUAAUGCACCUGGGAAAGCAGCAGGAGAUGGUCCUAGUGUCUCCAUGUGGGAGACCCGAAAGAAGCUUCUGGCUCCUGGCUUUGGCCUGACUCAGCACCAGCCAGAGACAGAUCUCUCUGUCUCUCCCUCUUUCUCUGUAACUCUGUCUUUUAAAUAAAUAAAUAAAUCUUAAAAAAAAAAAAAAAAAAAGACAAGGUGGAAGCCGUGUGUGGAAUGUUGUUCCUGAAAAGUCUGACAGUUUGCUGGUAAAGGGGGGAACUGGAUGGCCGUGUUUCCAGGAUGCAGAGAGCGAAAGGGGGUGAAGUUGGUGAGCCCCGGUGGUGGUGAGAUCGGGGCUUGGAGGCAGCAGUGUUAAGAAUGGGUAGGGAGAUGCCAGCCAAAAGUCUUAUUACUUCCUUAGUUGAUUUUCUUCUGGAGGAUAUAUCAAGUUUCUGAACAUUUUUAAAGACUUGUAUAUUCAGCUUGCCCCAGUGUCACCAGGCCAUGAUGCAGUACAAUGCCCAGAUCCUAAACUGGGUCCCACAGACAAGUGUGUUCUUACGUCAGUCAUGACGCAAGGCCAGGAAGCUUGGCUUCCUCUCCUCCUCGGAGGGGUGGGAGUCUGUGGCCCUGAGGCCGGAGCCCGGAGCCCUGCGCCGUGACUUUGAGCAGUGCCGGGGGUGGUUUGGGCACGGGGGUGAUGCUGCUCCUUCUCUGCAUGUCUCUCCGGAUGCUGCUGGUGGAGGGAUUGGCCUUGGCAGCGCUGCUCGCACUCACGGUGCCGGGCCGUGAGCACUGCUCUGGGGGUGACGGGGGGGCGGGGUGGACGUGAUCGCAUGGUUUCUUCUUGGUUUGCCCUGUGCUAGGAAGAGGGUGCAGACUCUUUGGUCAGGGGUCGCCAGUGGAUUCCUGGCUGCUCCUCUUCUGAUCCAGCUCCCUGCUAAUGUGCCUAGGACAGCAGCAGCAGAUGUCCCAAGUCCCUGGGCCCCUGCACCCAUGUGGGAGACCCAGAAAAAGCUCCUGGCUUCAGUCUGGCCUAGCCCUGGCCGUUGGGGGCCAUUUGGAGAGUGAAUCAGUGGAUGGAAGAUCUCUCUCUCUCUCUCUCUCUGUCUCUCCUCCUCUCUAACUCUACCUUUCAAAUAAAUAAAUAAAUCUUUUUUUAAAAAAAUGCCAUUAGUUCAUGAGUCAAGACUGGGAGAACUGAGGAAAAACAAAACAUCUCACGUCGGUUGUUGGAAAUCCGUGGUGAUAUGAAACUGUAUUGUGACUGAACUCCGGUUUGGUUGCAGUGCACGUGGGUUAAGGGGCAUUUUAUUUGAAGGAUCAACUGGGGCUUAGGAAAGAAUCAGUCUUGAAAUGUAGCCCAGUCUUGCAAAUCCAAUUCUUAAUUGAACUUCCAGUUGUUUAAUCACACCUGUCAGAUCUUGUCACGCUCCCAGUGCCGUGGGAGUCAGCACUGAUACCUGUGAGCGUCGGUCGGCUUGGACGGACCGAGGGUGGCUGCAGGCUGAAGACACCAUAGUGGAAGUCAGAGUCGUGCUGUGCAUUCUCGUAGUCACGUUUCUCGUUUUACGAUGCCAUGGAACAUGCAGCACGUCUGUGCCUGUGUUCAUUUCCUUUCUGUGUGGGAAAUGCGUGCAGGUGCUCCCUGGGAGUUUCACAUUGUUGUGAUACAUACAUCUGUGUUAUGAACAUACAUCUGUGUGUGUAGAACAUACAUCCCUGCAUGUAUAGAACAUGCAUCACAUCUGUCCAUGUGUGGAACACAUUUGUAUGUGUGCAGAACAUGUAUGACAUCUCUGUGUGGAAUGUGUCCCAUCUCCAUGUGUGGAACAUGUAUGACAUCUGGCAGCACAUACUUUACAUUUGUGCAUGUGUAGAACACAUCUGUAUGUGUGUGGAACAUGUAUGACAUCUGUGCCUGUAUGGAAUAUUCACUGUAGCUGCGUGUGUGUAGAACAUAGUACAUCCAUGCACAUGUAGAACAUGGUAUGACAUGCGUGGAACAUGUGUGACAUGUCUGUGGAAUAUAUGACAUGCAUGUGUGGAACGUACAUCAUAUCUGAGCGUGUGUUACUUUCAGUUCCGUGUGGGCAACCCAAGUGGGUGCCCUAACAUCUUGCUCCCCCUGGCCAACACCUGGCAGAGGUGACCGCUCUGGGCUUCUUUGUGACACCAGAGUCAGGGAAAGUAGCAGCAGAGCCGCGUGCGCGGGUGAGCUUGGCUUUCCUGCGCCGUGGACUUGCUCGUCUCUCAGGGCGGGUUCGUUUCCGAUCUCACGCAUCUGCGCUCUUGGCUCCAGGGCGGGGUGGAGGCUGCACAGGGCAGAUGCGCGUGUGUGGCCGGCACAGAAGCUGCCGAGGCUCCUUUCUGCCUCGCGUUCUCCCCGUGGAGCCCAGCGUGUCACCGGGUGCCGUCCGCGCUGUUGAGCAGUGUGAGCCCCUCGUGCUGGGUAUGCAGGCAGCCGCGUUCCUGCUCACACCCCCCCAGACAAACAGGGUCACCCCUAAAGGCGGGCAGCCCACAGAGUUUAGAUCCUUUUUGUCAAGUCACCACCCUCUGACCCGGAUGUAGCGACUGAGUCUUCCCACGGUGUGUGCUCCUUUUCCAGUGCACCGGGCCAGGGGCUUGGUUACACCGCUCUGUAGGCAGGGCUGUGCUCAGUGCUCCCUGCGGUCAGGAGUCCUGCCCUCGGGCCCAGGGCCGGGUUUCUCACCUCACCCGGCAGGUAGUUGGUGCUUGGCCACGCACGGCUGACAGUUAGUGCCUGUCUGGAGGCUGAUGAGCAGUGCGGUGUUCAGUGCUUCCCUACACAGUGACGCGAGAACACAGUCAGCCUCGAGCAGAUGGCCGCUGCUCGCAGUGGAGGUCCAGUCCCGCGCGCGUCUCUGGGGUGCACGUCUCUGCAAACAGCCCUGUGAGCGGGAGUGUCCCGGACGACCCCUCCACCCCCUCCUGUUCACGCAGGAGAAAGCUGGGGCCUGCGAGCCGGGGAGGAGUGGGCCCCACCUCACGGCCUGUGUUGCAGGGGGUCUGCGGCCUGCAGCUCCACACCCUCACCCCCCCCCCCCCCCCCCGGCAGCCUGUGGAGCUUUCUCUGUCUCCUGGGGGAGAAGUUGGCCCAGCCACAGCUGGAGCACUGGGGGAAUCAGAGGGCCCGGUCGACUGUCUGCAGGUGUUGCAGCGACAGUUACCUCACCGAUGGGACAGUCCUGUGCUGGGAAGGGAGGAGGAGGUGGGGGAGGAAGAGGAUGGCCGGGGGGAGGGACAUCCCUCCUGGCCAGGGAGUGUAGCAGAGGGCCGGCUGGUGCAGCAGGACACUGGCCGCAUGUGCCGCAUGGCGGGCGGGGAUGAGGCUGGCAUCUGAUCCCAUCUGUCCUGCUCACACCGAAAGCUCCAUGUGCAUUUCAUGACAGGAGCAACACAAUGCAAUUUCUCUGUCACCUCCCAGCCAGCCUUUGAGAUGGGGCAGGCCUCCCUCUCUCUCUCUCUCUCCCUCUCCCUCUCCCUCUCCCUCUGCCUCUCCCUCUCCCUCUCCCUCUCCCUCUCCCUCUCCCUCUCCCUCUCCCUCUCCCUCUCCCUCUCCCUCUCCCUCUCCCUCUCCCUCCCUCUCUCCACUGUGACAUCGUUUCUCCUGGGUACCGUUGCCUUCCUGUUCCGCUCACUGCUCACCAGUGCUCUCCUGGCCAUGUCACCGCUCUCCUGGCAGACACCGUGGACUCGCGUCCCAGCUGGACCAGCAGUGAGGACCGCUGUUCGUGCCCGGGCCGCACCAGGCCAGCGCUGUUAGGUCCUCUUCGUGCCGGGUCUCAUGCUGUAAGCUGGGGAUCCUAACGUCGCUCUUUCAUAGAUUUUUUUAAACGUCGAGGUGUAAUGAGGGAGCCUGCUUGGUACUGCACAGCCGAUGGAUGGCAAGGCUGUGGUCUGAGUCGCCUUCUGCCAGACUCCACAGCCAGAGCUCUGGUGAGCUGGCCGACUCCACCCACAUGAAGUAGCCGUGUGUGUCGUCAGCUCCUGGGACAUCUCCUGUUGGAGAAUGUGAUGUCUGUUGUUGUUGUUGUUGUUGAUAAAAGCUGAGGGUUUUUGACUUCAAGAUUUUUGUUGUUGUUGUUCUGAUGUUCAGUUAAGCAAAAUUGGUCUGGUCUUUAAAAUAUGCGCUGAGAAUUGUGUCUUUUUUUUAAAUAUUUAUUUUAUUUCAAAGACAGAGUUACAGAGAGAGGUAGAGACAGAGAGAAAGGUCUUGCAUCUGCUGGUUCACUCCCAGAUGGCCACAACGACCGGAGCUGUGCCGAUCCGAAGCUGGGAGCCAGGAGCUUCUUCUGGGUCUCCCGUGUGGGUGCAGGGGCCCAAAGACUUUGGCCAUCCUCCACUGCUAUCCCAGGCCACAGCAGAGAGCUGGAUCAGAAGAGGAGCAGCUGGGACUAGAACCGGCGCCCAUGUAGGAUGCUGACACUGCAGGCCAGGGCAUUAACCUGCUGUGCCACAGCGCCGGCCCCGUGAAUUGUGCUUUCUUAUGUGCACCUUCACGAUCCCAGUGCACAGAAGUCGCUCCGGGUGGCCCUGGUGGUGCUGGAGAGGACUGUGUGGAGGGCAGCUCUGCGUCUGGGUGUAGCUCAUUCCAUGAGUUCUAGGACUGCGGAGUGGGGGCUGCGGCGCAUACAGGUCAAUGCUUCAUGCCUGGUUCUGAGGUUGCUUUGUUGCUGCCUGCUCAUCUGACUCCCAGAAGGUUUUCCUCUAUCCUCCCUAAGAGAUGGAAAUGGAAAUGUUAUCCUGACUGUGCACACAUUCGAGAGAGAGAGAGAGAGAGAGAGACUCACUGGGGAGAGCGAGGGCUCACCUUGCUAAGAUCAUUGCAGAUGAAGCUGCACAGAGUAAGAGAGCUGUCGGUCUGAAGCCUGCGACGUAUGCUCCGGUUCACAUCAGAAAAUCCAGUCCAGCUGAAAUGACUGGAGUUUAGUUCCCCGCCACAGCGAAUGCAAAGGGGCCGGCCUGGGUGCUGUGCACGCCUCGGCAGCAGGCGGCGUGGCCCAGCCACGGCAGCCGGGGUUUGCUCAGGGGCCUGGUCUGGACCUCGUCGACUUCUUGCUCUCUCCUUUUCCCUUUCUCUUGUCUAGCAGUGACCAGAAUCUUAGGAACCAAAAGUUUCUUCAAAUGCAAGCCAUGGCCGGCAUCCUCAUGUCUUGGCUCCUGUUAGGUUUGUAUUUGAUCAGUGUCAGCUUGCAUCAGAUGGAACCAUCACAGCCGUGUGCACUGUGCAGGCCCCGCUGCUUCCUUGUCCUUUCCCUUCCUGGGACAGACACACCACCCAAGGUUAGCCCUGAGCACUUGGCUCUCCCAGCCACGUCUUAGCUCUCUCAGCAGCCUGCUCCGGCAUCAGCAAGUGACCCAGCAGCCCUGUGAGGCUACCUCAGGCCGGCUCCCAGGCCCACUGUUCUUGUUCAUGGCUGGCUACUUUUUUUUUUAAGAUUUAUUUUUUACUUAUUUGAAAGUCAGAGUUACAGAGAGAGAGGCCUUCCAUCUGCUGGUUCCCUCCCCAAAUGGCUACAAUGACGGGGGUUGGGCCAGGCUGGAGCCAGGAAAUUCAUCUGGGUUUCCCAUGUGGAUUCAGGGGCCCAAGCACUUGGGCCACCCUUCGCUGCUUUCCCAGGCAGGGAGCUGGAUCCAGGUGGAGCAGCCAGGACUCAAACCAACGCUCAUAUGAGAUGCCAGUGUUGCAGAUGGGGCUUUAACCCACCACGCCUCAAUGCCAGCCCCUCACAGCUGAUUCCUAACCAGCCUACUCUUCCACUUCUGUUUCUGUAGCCAGUUUGAAAGCAGAAAGCUCAACAGGUGUAAUUAGGUUUGUAAGUGAAAAGUUUCACAUGACACACGUCCGUCUCAUUCUGUCUGAGCCCUGGGUCUGUUUGACAGGUGUGUAAGUCGGCCCAAUCCACAAAGGACACGAGGCCGCUGGCAUCCUACGGGAAGGGGCAGUUGUCAUGUCUUUGAUGGACACGGGCUCUGCAUAGCAGCUCGGGACUGAAAAACCUGCUGUGGAGCAGGUGGUUGAAGUGGGGCGCUGACGCUGUGUGUCAUGUGCCGUGGGAAUCCUGUCACCAGUGGCCUUGUUAGAAAGGUGACAGCAGGCACUGGAGCUGGUCUUGUUGUACAGCCCUGGGCCUCAUGGGCAGGCUGCAGGUGGUUAGCACCAACUUGUUCCUUGCUCCCCUCUCUGCCUGAGACCUGGGACAAGAGGCACAUGACAGCUGACAGCGGGUGACAGAGCCCUGCGCCGGCACUGGGGGGGGCCACGGCAGCCACACCACGGGAGUAGCGUGGACUCUGGGCCGCUCUGAAAUCAGAUUCAUUUCACUCGGGCAAAAGCGCUCCAGCAGGUGCAUCGGCCUAUUGACACGCAGAGGACAUUCCGGCUGGAAGCUGGUGUUUUGGGGAGAAAAUAACUGAACAGAAAAAGACGGUUUUGAAACGACCAGUUGUAGACACAGCAAGCAACCAGUAUUUCCCUUCUGAAAGACAUCAACAUUUUCUCCCUAGAAAAACACUCAGACACCAAGCAGCAGCUGCUCUGUGUUUUGCCAGUUUUAUAACAGUUCAUAUGAAAGGACAGCACUGUUGAAAGCGAAUCCACUACCGUGUGCUCAUUUUGCCAAAACUUUGAGAUGCAACAGUCAGUGUGCUUUUUUUUUUUUUUUCAAAGUAUGACAGUACACAAAGGAGAAAAGUCUGCUCGAUCAUUGAGGAGGACAGUGCGGGAGCCUAGCUUGACUGCGAGGUCCUGGAAGGGCCGGGGUAGACACUGCUGAGCCCUGAGCGGCGUGGAGGCGGGGGUGAGGCAGGUGGGCAUGGAAACAGGAGGCACUGAGCAACACCACCCUACACCACCGUGGUGCCUAACAUCCAGAAUCCAAUCGGGCUUUCCAGAAAACCUGAACAGCUCCGGAGCUGAAGUUGGAGAUGAGGGGACUUCAAAAAAGUAAUUGGGAAAAUGGAAUUGAAAGGUAAGUUUAUGUUGGUGUAAAAAACAAAUUGAAAUCCACGCCUGGUUUCUCCAUGAUGGAAAUUUCCCGUGAACCUUGUGACGUGCACGUGCACAUGCACGGGGCCUGUACUCCGCGUUUUCAGAGGCGCACGACGCUGUCCCUGUCCCAGUGCGUGACACAGGUGAGGCACAUGCCCCUGAUGCCCCUGCCAGUGGGGCAGGCCCCGUGAGACCCCGUGGCAUGGGCAGCCAAUCCACACUUGAGACAAAGCCCACUCCUCUCCCCACAGAGCUGGCCCUGCCUUCCGGGCAGCUGGACUUGUGCUUUGCAGGCUACCCUGAGGCCUGUAGCACCUGGGCUCUGGGGGAGAGGAGGCACCACGCAUGCUCUUGUUUCUGGCGCCUGAGAAGGAGGGGAGAGCCCCCCAGAGGGUACCCUAGGCCCAGACAGUGCUGCUGAGUUCCCAGGACAUGAAACAGAGCAGUGCAGGCGGCCAGGACUGAGUUGUGGGAAGGAAGGCAGCCGGCCCAGGCCACUUGGAGAGUGAGGAGUGGGCUCGAGGCUGCAGCAUGCUCCGCACCUGCGGCGUGCGAGGCCUUCCAAGGAGGCGCCUGCCAAGCUGAUGGUGCUGAAACUCUGGGAACAGGCGCGUGCUUUUGAGCCCUGCAGUCCCCACCUGCCCACCGAGCUCAGGAGUAAUCACCUUGUUUUUUUAAAGCAAACUGCAGAAGGCAUCUGUGUGCCAGACCCACACUGGACAGGAGCAUCUUCUCCGAAACAUCUGCCAAUGGCCACGAUAACAAGGCCUUUUACAGCUGGAGUGGGGGUGAGGCUAAAACAAAGCCCGAGUCCCCCCGCCCCCCGCCUUGCUGUGUGGACAGGCAAAGGGCCCUUUUACUGCUGGACAGCCUCGGCUUCCUGAAACCAUCCGUGAAUGGCUGACUGUGUGUGGAUGGAUUCUAUCAGUAGUUGCUGGUUUCAGCGCUCCAGGUCUACUUUAGCCUUUUGUGUGGUUAUGUCGUCCCUUGAGACUCACCGUUCCGUUCGUUUCGUGUCAGCCACCCUCAGUUAAAAGGAAGGUGAAGAGCCGAGCAUACCUGCUAGUGCACAGGCAUCCAUGGAGGGGGCUCGGUCGGGGUCAGCUUCCUGCCCGUGCGCUCACGGGAACACAGAGCUUGAAGGGGCUGACUGAGCAGCAGCUACUUAGGCUCCAGGUCUCUACGUCCUCUGUGCAUGGCCCUAGACUGCCAGCAUUUUAACCUGUGGGCUGCUUUCUAAUAGUUUCUCUGCCUCCUUUCCUUAAUUCUUUGGAAAGCUUGCCGAGUCACCCCUGUCUCGUGCUGGAAGCUGUGUCUGUUGUCACCUCACCAAAUCUUCAUAGCAAGGUCUCCUUUGUGUCACUCUGCGGUUGUGGGUCGCAGUUAAAUACAUUUUGCAGCUGUGAUGAUCCGUUUUCCCAAGUCCCAGAGGUCAUUUUGCCAGAUGUGGCUCAGAAGGAGCCCGAUGUCCAUGGGAAGAAGAUGCUGGAGUCAUACUGUGUCAUGAAAUGACAACUUUUUUUUUUUUUUAAAUCCAAGGCAGUCUGAGAGGAAUUUGUUUUGAUGGAAGAAUUGUCUUUUUGGUUCCUGGUGAUGGCGACAGAAGGUGGGAACCAGAGCAGCCCUAGUCCAUACUGAUUGGAGGAUGGUGCCCUGUCUGGGAUGAUGCUACUCUUAGGGCACUAGGCCUGGUGCGCGGGAGGUGCUUUUGUGCAGAAUAGAGCAAGGCCUCCCUCUCUCUAUGGAUGGCGACAGCCUGGUACCAGUGUGUGUGGCUCAGGAAGUGGAGUACCAGCUGGCGGCCAGCUCCUGGUGCACCCUGUGCCUUGCACAACCUGGCAGCUCUGUGACGACUGUGACGGUUUUGUGUGUGUGUGUGUGUGUGUGCACUCACUGGAAUGGGCUUGGUUGGGAAAGCCACAAUAUUAAAGGAGAGAAGGUAGCAGAGGGACACAGGUACAGAACAGAAUGGUAGGUUGGCAAGUGGAGAACAAAGAAAUUAUUCCAGGCGCAGGUAUUUGGCAGAGUGGUUAAGACUCCACUUGGGACCUCUGUGUCCCAUGUCAGAGUGCAUGGGUUCGAGUCCUGGCUCCGCUUCUGACUCCAGUUUCCUGCUAAUGUGUACCCAGGGAGGCAGCACAUGAUGGUCCUUGUACUUGAAUCCCUGCCAGCCACAUGGGAAACCUGGAUUGAGGCCUGGGCUCCUGGGUUUGGCCCCAGUCCAGCCCUAACUAUGAUGGGUAUUUGAGGAGUGAUCUAGUGGAUAGAAAAUCUCUCUCUGCCUUUUAGAGAGAGAGAGAGAGAAUAUGAAUCAAUCUUGCAUUUGCUGAUUCACUCCCCAAAUGUUUGCAUUUGGGCUAGGCUGGAGCCAAGAACCAGGAAAUGCAUCUGGAUCUCGUAUGUGGGUGGCAGGGGCCCAAGCACUUGGGCCAUCUUCCGCAUUUUUUCCCAGGCCAUUAGCAGGGAGCUGGAUCAAAACUGGAGCAGCCAGGACUUCAUCCAGUACUCAUACGGGAUGUCAAGCCAGCCUCAAUAAAUAAAUUUUUUUUUUUUUUUUUUUUGGCAGGCAGAGUGGACAGUGAGAGAGAGACAGAGAGAAAGGUCUUCCUUUGCCGUUGGUUCACCCUCCAAUGGCCGCCAUGGCUAGCGCGCUGCGGCCGGAGCACCGCACUGAUCCGAUGGCAGGAGCCAGGUACUUAUCCUGGUCUCCCAUGGGGUGCAGGGCCCAAGGACUUGGGCCAUCCUCCACUGCACUCCCGGGCCACAGCAGAGAGCUGGCCUGGAAGAGGGGCAACCGGGACAGAAUCCGGUGCCCCGACUGGGACUAGAACCCGGUGUGCUGGCGCCGCAAGGCGGAGGAUUAGCCUAGUGAGCCGCGGCGCCGGCCUAAAUUAAUAUUUUUAAAAAGGGAAAUCAUGGAGCCGGUGCUGUAGCAUAGUGGGCAAAGCUGCUGCCUGCAAUGCCGGCAUCCCCUCUAUGGGUGUUGGUUCGAGUCCUGACUCCUUAUUUCUGAUCCAGCUCCCUGCUAAUGGCCUGGGAAACAGUGGAGGAUAGCCCAAGUGUUUGGACCCCUGCCACUCGCAUGGGAGACUCAGAAGAAUCUCUUGGCUCCUGGCUUCAGUCUGGCCUAGCCCUGGCUAUUGCUGCCUUUUGGGAGUAAGCCAGCUGAUGGAAGAUCUCUCUCUCUCUAACUCUCUUUCUCUCUCUCUUUCUGUAACUCUGACUUUCAAACAAAUAAAUACAUCUCUUUUUUAAAAAGGAGAGAUUAUUCCAGAAUUGGAGGGGAGGGAGAAGGAGUGGUUGCAGCUGGCCCCUGCUCGAUUUAGGGUCCCCGUACCCCCCUUGUUGCUCGUAGCCCCGUCCCCUGGAACCCAUGGCCAGAAUCCAAGUCAUGUUCCAGUCGCUACCGCGCUGCUGCCGCGUGACCUUGCCUCUCGCCGGCCUUGGAUCCCCUCCCCGCGGAGCCUGGAGCAGGGCUUGCUCAGGGCCUACUUGAGCAUGUUCCUGGGCUCCCAGAGCUUUCUGAGCAGAGGAGUUGGAGGCUCUGGGGCUCUGAUGUUCUCCCCUGGGCUCACACACGAGCGCCUCCCCUGCCCAGGUUUCCUUCAGCCAAGGCGGGCUGAGCCGGUCCUUGGUCUCUGAGGGCAGCGUUGUCUCUGCUCCCGUACUGUCCAGUUCCCCUGUGGAGUGCAGAUGUGCAGAGGAAGGGCGAGAGUGCGGUCAUAAUAACAAGAAAGCAAAGCACGGAAGCAGAUGUGUGUCGGCUGCGGAGAGGCCACUGUGCCGUGAUGGGGCCUGUUGACGAGCUGCAUACACGUCGUGGUGGCCUUGACUCUUUCCAUCCUAGGGAACAUUACUGAUCACUCAUUAUUAUCACCAGAUUCACGGAGGAUUUUGCUACCGCGAUUAGUAACUUGCUGGAGUUCAGAGGUGAAAGAAACCACAGUCGAUUUUUCAUCCGUUCCUCUUAUUUAGAUAGCACUUUCUCUGCUGAGUUCUGUUUCCUAAAAUUCUAGGAGAUUAAUUUGCAUUUUGAAUGCUACAGUAACCACCCCACCUCCCUUUGGCAACUCUAAGUGUAAAAGGCUGGCACAGAUCAGUGCACACUUGAGGUCGUGUUACUGGGGUGACUGCAGGAUAAUGGGCGGUCUAGAUGGCUCUGACGUGGGAACAGAUGAGCGUAGCGUCUUAAGUAGCAGAAGAAAGGGGACUGAUGGCUGCGCCCGUGGACUUGGAGAAGUUUCGGCCUGGGAUCGGGACGGGUUCAGAAGUGUCCAGAAUGUCCUGGGCUGGCCUCGGCGUUCGCUUGAACAGGCUGAUUUCAUUCAAAAGGCUCGACUUUGCAGGUAGAGGAUUAUGUCUUUCAGUGAAGUACGGAGAUGAGUGUCUUAGAUUCAGGGAAAAGCGGGUUCUGGGAGUCAUUUCCUGGUCGGUGACCUGGUGCGGUCCACGUGGUGAAUUAGCUGGAGUCCCCUCAUUCAGAAGGGCCGCCGUGAUUUUGCCCUCUGUGGGUGUUUUUAAAUCUCAUUAAUAGCUUCCUCUGAAACUCAGCUGUGAAUCGCUGCCCUUGAGAGAGGAGUCAGCUGCUGCAAGGCCGGGGGGGGGGGCGGUUCUUCCAGCAUAAGGUGACGUGGUUUUCAUUCCCUGCCUUCUAGAAACUGAACUCACAGGCAAGUUCCACCCAUUGUAAGUUGUUGGAAUCCCGUUUGCAUUCGUAAGUUGCAGGAGCACUUCAGAAUCUAGGUAAUACAUUUUAUGUGUAAUAGUUUAAUUCUGUAAUAGUGUACACAGAAGAGAAUGCUUGACUACAUUGGUGCAAGGCUUGUUUCAUUGUAUUUUAGCAAGCUCAUCUUUGCUUCGUUGUGAGACUCAUAAAAGCAUUAGUGUGUAAAUAGUUGAAUCAGAGUGUAGAGACCAGGCCCUCGUGCCCACCUGCUGUCCCCCUUUGCACCCUGCCUGGUCCCCCAUGCUGCGUGGGACCCUUACGUGGCCCCAGCUGCACCACCAGUGGUUGCCCACUUGCCAGGUGCACCCUCCUGCAGGGCUCGGCCUGGCUGGAGGCCUUGGCGGGAGCAGGCAGCCCUAGCCCGCCACACCGCUGGCUGUGCUCAGCUCCACCCCCCCUCAGGGCCUGCACACGAGAUCCACGGGCCAGAUGUGCUCACCCCAGAGGGCGGCUUUGUGCUUCCUGGGCCCACGCCCCACAGUGUGCCUUAGGCACGAGGCCCCCUGGCUCCUAGAUGCAAACCUAAACGCCUGUGCAGACCUGCCGUUCGAUAAAGUCGAAGUGACGGCCUGACGAAGUCUUGGUUCUGCUUGUCUUUUACUUUAAAGGUAAUGACCGAGCUUUUCUUCCCCCCUUCCUUAGCAGUGUGGCCCAGAAGCAGUUGCCCUUCGGUAGAAAGCAGACCGAGGUCAAAUCCAGGCGAGGCGGCUGUCUGUGGGGACAGGGGAGGGGGCACCUUGAUGGUGGGGGGCCAGCAGCCGUGCCCAGUGUGGGCGAGGAGGUCCUGGGUGCGUGUGGGCUGCAGCCUGACGCUUGCGGCGUUGGAAGCCACGUUGAGCGAGUGGUGUGUCGCUCUGGGACUGGGGGCUCAGUUGCAGUGAUGGGAGGGAGGUCAGUCAUGGCAGGAGGAGUGGCUGAGACAUGAAGAUACCUCGGGUACUGGGUAUCACGUUUCUCGCUGCAGAGAAGAGAAGCAGAAACGCAAUAUGGAAGGGGAAACGUGAAACUGAACGCUGCGGGGGUACUUUCAAAUCGGGGCUGUCAGCAUGAACUCCCGCCAGACGUGAGCGUGUGUGUGUGUGUGUGUAUAUGUGUGUGUCUGUGUAAGGGUCUGAAGACUUCUGUGACUUCCCUGGUCCUUGGCCCUGAGCUGUAGCAGCCAGGAGCACCCCUGGUGCCCAGAUCGUGGCUUCUAAACACCACUGUGCUCCGAGAGGAGCCAGGGCUCCGUGGAGAGCUGGCUGACUGCAGGGCCUGGUGGGAGAGCACACAGCCUGCUGAUGGCGUUGCGCCAGCAAGUAAGGACAUGCCAAGAGAGGACAGCGGCUGUCCAGAGGGCUCCGCAGCCGCAUUGCAGGAGCGCCCCCGGCCAGGCUGGACAGGGCCAGCAUCAGAUGGAGUCAUGAGACUCCCCCAAGAGAAGCACUGUCCACACCAUGCAAGGAGGGGCUCGGCACUGCCGCACAGCCUGGGUCUCCAGGGCCGGGGGCACCUCCUCGCUGCUGCUGGGUGUGCAGCAUCACACAGUGCUCCCAGUGCGCACAGGGCGGUUUGCAGAGACUGGCCCGCAGCUGAAGAAGCUCCCAGCCCCACAGCUGUCUCAGGAAAGGCGAGAGGGCCACGGCUGCGUUUAGGAUGGGUAUUGAGACGGUUCUGCUGUGUGCAGGGACGGACAUCGCCACUCGUCUUGCUGUGCUCCCUGGGUGACCCCCUCCCGUGUAGAUCUACAGCAGUUCCUAAGAAACCGGAUGCAUUGGACUUCGGAUCUUUACCAUAUACCUACAAGACCAUGUUUUUUCCAGGCAGGCCUAUGUUGGAUCUCUUUCAUUCAUUUGCAUUUUGUUCACAGUCAGUAUCAUUUUGUCAUCCUUUAACUAAAAUACUCGAUAACUUUAUGUAUUCUAGGUAAACAGUUAUAAGGUUAAGAUUUUAAAAACCAGAUUUAAAAAAAAAAAAAUUGGUUUACUAGAUUUGUAGUUAGUUCAGGUUGAAACAGUGAAACCUGAUCGGGCCUGGGAGUGUGCUCUCUGCUGCUUUGUAGGAACAGGGGCAGCCAGAGCACUGUGGGCUGUGGGGGAGGGGAGGGAGCAGGGUGGGGUGGCAGUGUUAGGGGCGUGCGCUCGAGAGGCAGGGGCACAGGGGCCGUCAUCCAUGGCCCAGGCUCCAUCUCAGGCUUUUCCCAGCGGGUGAUCAGAGGGCCCCUUCCUUCCUCCCACUUGACUUCCUGUCCCCAGGGUAUCUUGUCUGUUUCACGUCUAAGGAGACUGAGACAAGGCUCAGUGACCCGGUUUCAGAUUGUCUCUGCCUCAACGUUUAGUAGCAAAUAUUGCUUUAUUGUCACCUCAACGUUUAGUAGCAAACAUUGCUUUAUUGUCAUCUCCUGAAAAACGCUGAGUGACGAAAUGUUAACCUGCUCCAGAAAUAGGUAAUAAUGCAGGGAAGAAUAUUAAUAUGCUUACUGCAGUGCCUGGGCAAAUCGCCCCAUACGUGGGAUUGUUAGGGAAUCUGUGAGGGUGCGCGUUGUUCCUCAGGGGAGCUGAGACCCCUGGCGCGAUCCCUUGUGCACCGCGUGUGGGGCGCGUCCGCCGGGCUGGCGGCUCCGGAGCCCGUCCUCAGUCACCUCGCGUGUCCUGUGAGGCCCUGUCCCAACAGGGACCCGCCUGCCUUGCUGGGAGUCAGCACCGGUGUUGGGUCUUGUUUCCGGGAAGUUGUUGAUUUCUCCCACUGAUGGAAAGGGAUGUCAGUGAGUCCUUGACCAGUGUUUGCUCUCGUCCCCGCUUCUCCUCCGUGUGAGGUCACCCGCCGGCCGAUGACGCCCUUGGCCGUCGUGGCGCCCAUGGGAGCAGGCCGGGAUUCCAGAGAGGGCUGCUGGAGCGAGGCUAGUGGGAUUGGCAGAGGGGGAGGGCGUCACGGGGGUCGUGGGAGAAUUCAAGGGCAGCUGGGCCUCUUGUCCUUGCUGGGUCCCAGUGGGAAUCUGUUCCGGUCUCCUCGCUCUGGCUGUUUGCUCUGUGUCUCAGCUGGGCUGUGGCCGGGCCUCCCAGACUAUGCUGCUGGCGUUUCCAUCUCCUCUCCUACACUGAGGGGUGGCGGUUAUCGCUGUGUCGCCUCGGCCACCAUCUAGGGCCAGCCCCGGCCUCAGGUUGCCAGCGCGGCUGUGGUCACGCCCGUGGGCAGGGGCUGGCAGGGCAGGCCUGACCCCUCGGGGCAGCAGUGGCCCCAGCGGUGCUUGUUGACGGAGCAUCGUCACGUUCGGAGCAGUUCCAGAUCUUUCAGCUGCAGAGCAGCCUGGAAGAUGGAUGUUUUCAUUUCCUUAGCGCAUUGCUAAUUCAUAAGCAUCUGCCCUGCAGACGGGAGCUGUCUGCCUGCUGCUUUGCUCAUUCCACGCCUGCGUGGAAGCCUUGGGGAAGACGGCGGAGGAGAGGCCGUUCUGCAGCGCUCGGGCAAGAGUGUGUCCUAUUUUGAGAUGAGGGGGUUGGGGCUCCUGUGCCUCCUUUUACUUGCUUGCUUGCUUUGAUUCACUUUCAUUAGCUGUGGUAAUUAUAAAGAAUCAAAUUCAGAGAGUAGUUUAACUCUUGGUCCUUGAAAUUUGCUUCUGCUUCUGUUUUAGUGGGAUUUUCACCCCCUCUCGUUUUCUGUGUCUUUCUAGUUGUUUAGUGGAAUAUCAGAAGAGGUUGCACUAGGAGCUGUGGAUGGAAAAUCUGUUAAAUUGAAUUGAAUACGUUUUAAGGAUUGGAAGUUCUGGUUUAACUUUUGUUCCCUAGAGUAUUACAUCAAGCAGACGGUCGUCAUACAAGCUCGCGUUUUUCUCAGCCCUCUGGUUUGUCAGCAUCGACUGCGAAUGAUCGUAUUUGGAGUGUUAGGACCGUGAUAAACGAUUCUGGGCCAGGAAACGUGGGAAGCAGCGCCAGGGUCCUGAAUUUCCAGCAGCGUCAGAUAACUGUUUGUUGGGUUAUUAAACCCGAUAGAAUGAGAGUGACGCUGUCAUUGGGUGAUAUUACCUGGUCCGUAUUAUAUCAAUGCACAGUAGCACCCAAGUGCAGAGAGCUGAGGGAAGAGUGUAAGUAAUGGGAGCCACAGAAAGUACAGGAGCUGGCGCUGUGCGGCAGGUUAAGCCGGCGUUUGAGACGCGGGCACCCCACACCCCUCACCGGUUUGAGUCCCAGCUGCUCUGCUUCCCAUCCAGCUUCCUGCUAAUGCCCUUGGGAGGGCAGCAGGUGAUGGCUCAAGUCCUUGGGCCUCUGCUACCCAUGUGGGAGACCCAAAGAAGCCCCUGGCUCCUGGCUUCAGUCUAACCCAGACCUGGCUGUUAUGUUACGGCCAUUCGGGAAGUGAACGAGCAGAUGGAAGAUUUCUCCAUUUCUGCCUCUCCCUUUCACGUUGACAACUCUACUUGUCAAAUAAAUAAAUAAUUUUUUUAAAAAAUGCAGAUACCAGUUUAUUAUUAACCUCUUCACUUUGCAGUGAAAUGUCCACAUGUUGAAUUUUACUGAAUUUUAGAUCCAGUUGGUUGAAGAUUCUUCAACUUGGAACUCACAUCAGUGGGACCAUUUCCCACCUUUCCUUAACUGCUUUCGGCACUGGAAGCCACCAAUGAGGUCAGAGUGCAGCAUCACAGUCACAGUCCACGCGGCAGUGUCCACCGCAGUGUUCACGGAGCAUUGUAAACAUUUGUAUUCAGUGUGAUUUUUUUUGUUAACUCUUUUAUGAGGUUGAUAGAAUUAAAUAUUUAAGAGUUUAUGAAUUCAGCCACUUAAUUAUCUUCCCAUGUUGCAAAAUAAGCAUACCCAAAGUUGACUUAAAACACAUAGUUGGAGUAUGACUUGUGUAUGGAUAGGCACACACUAGUAUGUGCAUAGCAUUUGUCUUGGUGUAGCUCUGUGCACAGAGGGAAGUUGUGGUGUAAUGAGUGCAUGGAGGAGACCUGACUUCCAGACUUCAGUUACAAUGUAAGUAGUAACUUUCCCAGCAGCUCAAAGCCCUUGUGUUCAAAUGCUCAGGAGGAAUAAAGGAGACAGGGUACCUGGACUCCCGGCCGGCGUUGGGUGCUGUGUGUGUAGCGCAUGUGUGCACCUGCCUUCUGUCUCCGACUUCUGUUUCUGCUAAGUGCAGUAGCCACAGCGGUAACAGUUCUGAUUCUACUCUGUUGUUUCUGCCAACUUUUACUAAUAAAGCCAUACUUUGGCAUGUUUACCUUUUAAGUUUUUUUGUUUGUUUGUUUGUUUUACUAUGGAUUCAUGUUUCUUAGAAUUUUAUGAAGGCAUUUCAAAAUGUUCUAGAAAAGUGUCAUUAAAAUAACUUACUUUGAUGUGAAAAUGUUUGAAAUGCAUGCAUAUGUGGGUAUCUUCCAAAAAGUUCAUAGAAAUGCCUAUUAUGAAAAAACUAUGCAUGAAUUUCAAAAAUUUUUCCCCAAAACAAACAUCUUUUACUUCCCUUCUCCCACCUACUAUCUGAAGUGCCCUUGUGUUGCAAGGGUUCUUUGAGGCAAGAGUCGAGGACGGGUUCUUCCAGAGCAGGUUGCCUGUGCUUCUCGAGGGUGACCGGGGCCAUUCCCGACCCCUGGGGCCACGGAGACUCAAGGCUCAACUUGGGCUUCUCGGGGACCUCGAGUUACUGGCCACAGCUCUGUCAGGGCUGGCUCUCAUUGUUGAGUUCUUGGAGAUACACGAAUCGCCCCCCAUUCACUGAGUGCCAGGAUUUGAGGCAGGCAGCAGGUUUUUUAAGAUUUAUUUAUUUAUUUAUUUGAAGGUCAGAGUUAGAGAGGGAGAGAGAGAGAGAGGUCUUCCAUCUGAUGGUUCACUCCCCAAUUGGCCACAGUGGCCUGAGCUGUGCUAAUAGGAAGCCAGGAGCCAGGAGCUUCCUCCAGGUCUCCCACGCAGAUGCAGGGGCCCAAGGACUUGGGUCGUCAUCUACUGCUUUCCCAGGCCAUAGCAGAGAGCUGGAUGGGAAGUGGAGCAGCCAGGACUUGAACGGACACCCAUAUGGGAUGCCGGCACUACAGGCAGUGGCUUUACCCGCUACGCCACAGUGCCGACCCCUCUCCCCGUGUUUCUGACAGCCUUCUGAGACUGUGAAAACUGAACCUAAGUCAACCCCCACUCCAGCAAGUCCCCCCAGGGCAGGGACCUCUUGUCCCCUGCUUACUCUGAUGGGGAGUGGGGAGAGGGAGGUCCUGCCAUCACUUAGUCUUUGAGCUCUGAUCUCCUUAAUGAACAGGCACGUCGUAGUUGUGUUUUUAAUGUCUCAUCCAACACUGUCCGUUUUCAGUGGGAGCAGUGAAUCCAGAAAGAAAAGUCCUCGCUUCUCCUGAGCUCUUCUUUCCGUAGCCAGGCCACUUGCACUGCAGGGGCUGGGACGGCCCACAGAAUUAAUGUUGGGAACACAUCCAGGCCCUGCUUGAUAUUCUGCUCACCGCUUGUUCAGGGUCCCACUCUAGUCAGACAGCUCUAAUCUUUAGAGCCUUUUUUCCCCUACACUGAGCUAAAUUCUGUCUCCCCUCAAUCUCUCCCGGUUGUUUAAUGUUCUCCCUUUUCCAAAUGGCCUUUCCUUCCCUGCUUCCAUCCCGCUCCCUCGUGUGGAUCGAACGCCCUCAGCGUCUCCAGCCGCUUCUCCAGGCAGCGGCGUUUCUGAUGAGUCCCCUCAGUCUGGCAUCGAGUUUUUUGGUUUUUCAGGAAUUUCAUCUCAUAACUACUCAUAAUACCCCAAAUAGGGCACGGCCGUGGCUCAUCCAAGUGUGUAGACUGGCCGGGACCCUCCUCUCAUGCUCUCAGCGUCUUUCUGUCAUAGCCCUGUGGCACAUUUCCAUACAGAUGACAGAGCCAGUGGUCAGUCGUCCCUGCCCCCCGACCUGCUACCCCCAAACCCAAUCUUUUUCGUGUGAAUGGUUUUAAGCCAGAUCUUUAUUGUAAAAUUAUGGAUAACAUGCCUUCACCAAACGAAAGUAAAAUAUAUGCUAUUAUAAUGAUGCAUUUUUAAAAAAUUACUUGAGAGGCAGAGAGAACUCCCUUUUGGUUGACUCCCCCGGAUACCCGCAGUGGCCAGGAGGACCAAGCUGAAGCUGGGAGCCAGGAACUCAGUCCAGGUCUCCCGUGUGAGUAGCAGGAACUCAGUUAUUUGAGCCAUUGCUGCUGCCUCCAAGAGCCUGCAUUAGCAGGAAGUUGGAGUCGGGAGCUGGAGCUGGGAUCUGGCCCUGUGCUGUGAACUGGAAGCGUCUUAGUCUCUAGGCCAAGCACCACCCUGGGUGUGAUUCCUGUUUGAGUGGACAUGUUAAGGCCCUGACACGAUUCUGUCUAUCUUUACUUAAGAGUAAUUUCCUUGAAUAGAAAAUUAGAGAGAAUCUGGAGAGCUCCCAAGUUGUUUAAAAAACCUAUCACUUUGAUUUUCAACGUGUUGUCCAUCAGUUCUGCCUGCAGAAGUUGGUAGUCACUCAGCGAUAAUUGGUCAUAACCAAAUCUGCUGGAUUCGUGUGCCUCGUGGUUACUUUGACUGUGAAAGAUUAUGUUUUACAGAGGAGUUCCAUGCUCUAUCUCUAACGGAAGAGAUGAAAUUUCUUACCUUUUACGUCAGUUGCUGUUUUAUGCUGAAUGCAUCAAUUAGCUAUCCUGCUGAUUUCAGUCUUAUUGUACAUAAUAUAGUAAAAAAAAAAAAAUCCCUUAGUUGCAAUUUAGAUUUUUUGCCAUAAAUGUUUGUCAGAGGCAGUGAAAGUCACAGUUAAAGGCGUUACUGUUCUUAAUUCAUUGACACAGGACUCUGCUCUCUUCUCGAGUUAAACCUGAGUCCACGAGUGCUUUUCAGUAGCCUCCCUGUUGCAUUUCCUUCCUUUUGGCUGUAGGGAUACACGGCUGCACAGGCUCGCCAUGAUUACGUGCGUGAUGAGAAUCGUUCUAAACUGCACACGAUGACUUUGGCAUCUAGUUAAUGCAUUACCGCGAUGACUAAUGAAGCCACUAGAGCAGGGACUCAGCCCUGGAGUGUGUGUCAGAGCCAGGAGAGGGACGCCUCCGUGCCUCUGAACAUCUUUGACAGAGACAUUUAACCAGGAAGAGCUGUGGGUUGAAAGUUAUUUCAAGGUUUACGAGAAAAGAUGUGUUCAGUGAGUUUUUACAAAACUUCUUUUCUGGAAAUAAAAGUGGUUAGAGUCCCAAGUUAGGGAGGUAGAUGAAAGCUUCCUAGAUGUGAUUAAACCAACUCAGGCAGUAAAUUAAACAUGCUUUAUUGUUAAUGGUGAAAAAUGUUUCUUUCAUUGGUUUUGAUUAGAAGCAUGAAUUAACUCGGAGUCCUACCACAUAUUUUUCAGAGAGGGCUUUUUAUGCUACCGUCUGUUAGUGAGCUGGAGAUAGAGCUUUUAAAUCUAAAUUCAUCUUCAUAAAAGGGCUAAAAUAAUGAAAAACAUGAGCUAUUACACCACAAAUAAUAUUGAUUGCUGGCCUUGCUCUGUGCAUUCCCUAAGUGCGAAGCAGCCUGGAAAGAGGAAGAACGUCUGUGCGUUCUUUCUUGGAAACGAGAACAGGGAAAUGAUCCUCAAAGAAAGCGUGUGUCGGAGCCACUGCUUUUACAAGUCCUCAGUGGAGUGAGCAGGAGAGCACCUCACUGCCUGCCUUGGUUUAAGUCGUCUGAGUGAGGCAGCUGUGGCCCAGGUAGGGCCUGGCGGCAAAGGGGAGAGUAGUGCCAGGCACUCUCUACGUCUUGCUUUUUAAACCUGCCUGUAUUAGCACUGCUGGCAGCGCCUGUAAUGAGUGCCUCCCUGUCUGUCUUCCCAUCUGACUUGCAGGAGUUUGCUCCUGCAGCAAAACGCAUGGGACUCUUGGUCCCCAGUGUUAGGCCCCCGGUAAACAAGCACCCCUGAAAACAUGUGGUGACCCAAGACGGAAACAGCUUAGGUAAAAGUGAGAAAUAUCUCCCGAGAGAAGAACAACGAGGGAAAGGAGUGUGUGAGGAUCGGGUUCCUGUGUGCUGGACUGGAUGGUGGAAGGGGUGACACAGGGUGCUCUGCGCACCUCUGCACUGCGAGGGCUCAGCAAGGACAGGCACGUUUUGCUCUUUCUUCCCCUGGUGUUCACUGAGUGUCUUCAUGGCACAGGCACCAUGAAAUGCAGUAGAGGGACAGGAGCAAGGGAGGGAGACAAAAAUCUGCCGUCGCGGAGUUCGCCUUCUGUUGGAAGGACUUAAAAAUGACCCACACCAAGGCACUUCAUUGUGAUGUUCAAAACACCGUGGAUGGAGAAAAUGGAGUAAAAAUGUUUAAGAGAGGAAAAUAAGGUUAUGUUUAAGAGAUCAAUACUCAAAUAGCAUUGAUCCUCUUGGUAAUGAAAUUAUAUGCUCCUUUUUAGAGGAAAUGCCUUCUAACCCACAGUUCUAUACCCAGCCAAACAGUCAAGUGCGAGAGAACUCCACUACUGUGGAUCCGCUGCACACAAUGAGGGAGUAAAACACAAGAGGAAGAUGUGGGAUGGACGCAGGAAAUAAGGAGACAGCAGAAGGAAUGGAGGGGGUGGGAGGUGCAUGGCCCACUCAGGCUGGGGGGCCAGGGGCUGGGGUUCUGGAAGGAGCAGCUGUGGUGGGAGGGUUACAGAGGCCAGGAUCCUGGGAGCUCCGUGAUGACCCCCUGGGCUCCUGUUCAGAGCAGUUGUACCACUGUGACAGAAGGUAUAGAGGUGAAUUCAUGCUGGAAACCUAGGGGACUAUCCGCAGUGUCCUAGCCAGCUCCAGGAGAAAGGAAACAGGCAUGGCGGGGAGAGUGGCCAGCAUGGAGACACUGGAUUCCAGCUGCAGGAUGGGGGUGUGUAUCUGUGAGGGGCACCGAAGCCUUAGGAGUACGUCCCUGGAAAAUCAAGGCAGAGCAGCUCGGAGGACCAGGUGGCCCCACACCAGCCUGCCGAGGAAGGCUGUAAUUCCCACUCCCGUGUGGCUUAAGGUACAGGACAGGGAGCUGCCAUUCAGGAGCGCGACCUCUCGGAGCCCUUGGCUGUUCACACCUGUGGCAGUCGGUCUCUGAGGCGGCAGGGAGGAGAGGUUAUUAAGGGGAGGUUCCUGGGGAGCCACCCCAAGACUUCCAGAGUGGACACUGGUUUAAUAUAUCCCUUCUGGACGCUCCUGCCUAUCACACGUGUGGGGAAGGGUGGCGGUGUUUGCUUCGUUGCUUGUGUUGUGGGCACUGACGUUGACCAGGAGGUCUGGGGUGUGACUGCCCACGGGGCGCCUGCAGGCGGGAGGGCACCCUGGGCCAGUGCUGUCCUCCCUCCGCUUCUUCCUCCCAGAGGUGGCUGGAGUCCCACCACUGAUUAUGCCAUUUCCACUGGGCUGGAUGGAGAAAUCCUCAACUCGAAUUUCAUUCGCUUGAGAUGCUUUUGGAACGAGUUAUGAAAUCACGUACUUGCCCCGCGGCCGUGAUGUGUGUGCCGUCAGUUGGUUGAGUGCGACGGCACAGCGCCCAGGUCAUUUUACCUUCUCUAGCUGAAUCACUUUUCCUGGUCUGUGGUGGAGAUAAGAUUCUGAGAAAUGUUAAAAAGCAGGUGCUGAUGCCAGUGACUGGAUUGUUAGAAAUAUGCCUCUUCACUAGCAAGAAAGCACUGAUAGGCCGGGCCUGCGUGAAAAUCCAGGGUGAGUGCAGAGAUUGAAUGAGGAAUGUCUGCACCACUCUCUCCCAAGUUGAAACGUUCCAUCUCCCAGCUCUUAAGGACAACUCAGGUUCUGACUGAUGCUGAGAUAAGCCUUUAGUACGAGUUUAGGGUUAGGGCUAGGUUAGGCUUACAUCAUCAGAGUUCCUCCUUGAUGCAGAUUGCUGCAUUUCUUCCUAGAAUAAAUGAAGCCGCAGUUCGCCCAGGCUCUGCAGUCCGAUGUACAGACUGAAGUGUGCCAGAUUAACCAGCUUAGAUAUGGGGCCAGGCUGUUGUGCCAUCUAAAGAUGUUGUUGAAAAAUGUGCUUACACUAAGUGUUUCUAAGAGAUUGCAAAAUGUUAUAGAUACUUAAAAUUUACGAUGAACAUACAAAAUUAUCAACUACAGCAAAUCCUCAGCGUGUGUAUCAAGUGCCCGUGGAGUGGAUUCAUAGUUGGCAAGGUGGGGGAUCCCCUGUCUCAGAGACUGGAGACUUUGAAGCCUUCUUCUUGUCCAGCGUUAUGGGCAGAUGUCUUCUUCCAAGUCCUGCUUCUUCAUCUAUAAAGAUGAGACUCACCAUGGUUUGAUUCAUCAGAGUACCACCUCUUACUGCACUGAUAGGUGUUUGGAACCGAAGGGCUCCCACGGCGGCCGUGGACUGAUCAGGUCUGCAUCACAGAGACUUGAGGAAGGGACAUGGUUCGCUCCUCAGCAGGUGGAGGUGGCCUCUGCCGCCCACUGCCCCGCGCUCUGUGACGCCCCCUUGGGGCAUCAUUUUCUUUUCCUUUUAAAUAUUUAUUUAUUUGAGAGGCAGAGUCACAGAGAGAGGGAGAGACAGAGAGAAAUGUCUCCGUCCACUGGUUCACUUCCCCAGAUGGCCGCAACAGCUGGAGCUGCGCCAAUCUGAAGCCAGGAGCCAGGAGCUUCCUCCAAGGUCUCCCAUGUGGGCGCAGGGGCCCAAGCACUUGGGCCGUCUUCUGCUGCCUUCCCAGGGAGCUGGAUCAGAAGUAGAGCAGCAGAAACACAGACUGAUGCCCAUAGGGGAUGUCGGCGCCUCGGGCGGAGCCUUAGCCUAGUAUGCCACAGCGCCAGCCCUCCACGGGGCAUCUUUCAACAGCUGUCACCCUUACACAGGUUGUUAUUUGUGCCCAAGUCAAUUCCCCUCUCCCGAGUCUUCUGUUAUUGGUUUUGAAACUGCCAGAGCAAAAUAGAAAGAGUCAAAGUUUCCCCUCCUAUGAAUAGCCCUUUAAUUAUUUAAAGUCAGCUACUGGUCUGGCGUGAAAACAUCACUCCUAGGAUGGAUUGCUCCUGUUCCGUCUUCCCUCACCCCUGGGUUUCCCGUCUCCUGCGCCCUCCCCGCCCCCCUGUGCCUCGGGACUGUGGCCUGCCUCUCGUCACCAGGAUGCUAUUCAUUGUGGAAGAAGCAGUGUUUGCUGAGGCAGGUCGACGUGUGCCAGGAAGUAGGGGCUUGGCCCAGGCUUGUGCUGUUUAAUCCGUACAAGUAGGUGCGGUUCCCUCUAGUACACUGAUGAGGAAACCUCAUUGCUCCAGGUGACUCGCCCCGGAGGUACCAGCUCUGUCUCUCUUCCUGACAGUCAUUGCUCCACGUCCCUGAGUCACGUGGUGCAGUCUUGCUCAUUCUUAGUGCCGAAACACAUUCCACUUUGUGAGUUUCAAAAGUAUUACAGGAUUCCCAAAACCUUUACACUGCGGAAAUACAGGAGAACCUGUCCCUACUGCAGUACCGUGAGGGCGGGGUCAGAUGCCAUGGCCUUUUUAUAUUCUUGUUUUCUGUACCUAAAUAAAAUGGAGACAUGAAUAUGUGAUGUUUUCAUUAGAAAGACUGUAUGAGUUGAUAAAGUAUGCAGUGGUGUCUGCUACGUAGUGAGAGCUCAAAUGUUGCUAACAUUUUUGACCCUCAAAACAGGUGCAUAAUGUGAAAAUAAAUGUAUAGAAGUCUCCCAGCAACAAAAACAAGAAUGGGAAUGGUCUGUGUAUGACGUCGUUAGCUUGGGUUUAUCCCCCCCAAUUUUUUUUUUUUUUUUUUUUGACAGGCAGAGUGGACAGUGAGAGAGAGAGACAGAGAGAAAGGUCUUCCUUUGCUGUUGGUUCACCCUCCAAUGGCCGCCGUGGCCCGCACGCUGCGGCCGGUGCAUCGCACCAAUCUGAAGCCAGGAGCCAGGUGCUUCUCCUGGUCUCCCCUGGGGUGCAGGGCCCAAGUACUUGGGCCAUCCUCCACUGCACUCCCAAAAUGUAUCACAGACUUUCCUCCAUAUCGUUCUCUUUCUGCCCACUACACGGUGUGCUGCCUGCCCUUCACGUAGUUAGUGAUGCCCCUGACUGAUGGGUGUCUGGGGGCAAUGGCACAGGAAGCUUUCUGGAGCAUACAUCGCCCUUCAUUAGAAGUGGUUGAACCUACGCAUUGAAAUUUACAUGUGUCUCCCUGUAACAUUUUAUCCUGAUACAUGUGGCCCGUUGCUAAGAUGUGAUGUCACUGCGUAGAUUUUGACCCUGUCAUCCACCGGAUUCCUAGUCCUUGGUUUCACUUAUUUGUUGAGAUUGUGAUCCACCCACCUGCCGGCCUUAACAUACUGAGAAACCUGGAUUGAAAACAGGUGUGCAGGUGUCACUGUGCUCCAGGGGAGAGUGUCCUCCAGGUGUGCAGGUGUCACUGUGACCCAGGGGAGAGUGUCCUCCAGGUGUGCAGGUGUCACUGUGCCCCAGGGGAGAGUGUCCUCCAGGUGUGCAGGUGUCACUGUGCCCAGGGGAGAGUGUCCUCCAGGUGUGCAGGUGUCACUGUGCCCAGGGGAGAGUGUCCUCCAGGUGUGCAGGUGUCACUGCACUCCAGGGGAGAGUGUCCUCCAGGUGUGCAGGUGUCACUGCACUCCAGGGGAGAGUGUCCUCCAGGUGUGCAGGUGUCACUGUGCCCAGGGGAGAAUGUCCUCCAGAUGUGCAGGUGUCACUGUGCCCCAGGGGAGAGUGUCCUCCAGGUGUGCAGGUGUCACUGUACUCCAGGGGAGAGUGUCCUCCAGGUGUGCAGGUGUCACUGCUCCCCAGGGGAGAGUGUCCUCCAGGUGUGCAGGUGUCACUGUGCUUCAGGAUGAGUCUCCUCCAGGUUUUCGGGUGUCACUGCCUCCCCAGGGGCGGGUCUCCUCCAGGUGUGCAGCUCUACCUGUAUUUCUGAAGGAAAAGGUCAGGACAGGCAUUGUUAGAUUCCCUUUCUGGAGUCUUAAGAAAGUAGCCAUUUGGGCUGGCGCUGUGGUAUAGCGGCUAAAGCUGCCACCUACAAUACUGACAAUCUCAUAUGGGCGCCAGUUCGAGUCCUGGCUGCUCCACUUCCAAUCCAGCCUUCUGCUAUGGCCUGGGAAAGCAGUAGAAGAUGGCCCAAGUCCUUGGGCCCCUGCAUCUGUGUGGGAGACCUGGAAGAAGCUCCUGGCUCCUGGCAUCAGAUCAGCACAGCUCUGGCCGCUGUGGCUAACUGAGGAGUGAACCAUCAGAUGGAAGACCUCUCUCUCUCUCUCUCUCUCUCUCUCUCUCUCUCUCUCUGCCUCUCCUGCUCAUCUCUGUGUAACUCUGACUUUCAAAUAAAUAAAUAAAUCUUAAAAAAAAAAAAAAAGUAGCCAUUUAGGGAGAGGUCUUUUAUCCAGUCUGGAAGGAUGGCAUGCACUAUUUGGGGAAACUUGAAGUAUAAACGACAGAUGUCUAUACUUUGGGGAAAUGUCUGAAAACUGUCUAAAAGUGCCUACAGCUUCAUUGCCAAGAAGACAAGAAAGAAAGGAGAAGUGUGAAUGCUAUUUUAUCCCAUUAGGCUAGCUGCCACAUAGCUGGCUCCAGGGCUGCCGCUCCACUUGGCAAUUUUUUAGCAAGAUUGCAUUUAAUGUAACGAGUUAAAAUGUAUUUUCAGAAUAUCGGGUUAAUCUAAACCAUUAAAAGUUGUUGCCUAAAUGUGAAGUAGAGUAGAGAACUGACUUUCGGUGUCUACUCUGCUAACUUUGCUUCUGCACUGAGCACGUCAUGGGAGGCAGCCAGAUACCCAGCUUCCUUGAGCAUAGUAAAUAGUGAGAGCUUCGCCUUUGGUGCCCGUUUUUAUUUCGUCUUUGGCUGUUUCGGAUGUCAGAGAUUAGAGCAGCCACAUGCAUUACCUCACUUGAACUCUUCAAGAACUCCGAAGUGACAGAAUGCAGAUCCCUGUUCCCAUUUUGCAACAGAAGGAAGUGGAGCACAAAGGAAUUUUCAAACCACCCAGGAAAGACAAGUGACUCUGACCACUGGGACAGUCCUGGAAAGCUUCCCCCAAGAGGUGGCCUCAGUGAAAGCUCAAAGGGUUGUUAAGGGCAAGUGUGACAAGGACCAGCCAGGCCCAGAGGCCCAGAGGCAAGAGGGUCAAGAAGCAGGAGUCUUGUGGCUGGCGCUGUGGCUCCGGUUCGAGUCCCAGCUGCUCCAUUUCUCUGGGAAAGCAGUAAAAGAUGGCCCCCAAGUUCUUGGGCCCUUGCACCCAUGUGGCAGACCCAGAAAAAGCUCCUGCCUCCUGGCUUCGGAUCGGCGCAGCUCCAGCUGUUGCAGCCAACUGGGGAGUGAACCAGAGGAUGGAAGACCUCUCUCUGUCUUUCUCUCUCUCUCCCUCUGCCUCUCUGUGACUCUGCCUUUCAAAUAAAUAAAUAUUUUUUAAAAAAAGAAGAAGCAGAUGAAGCAGCAGCAGCAGCAGCAGGAAGGAGGCAGACAUGCAGCCGACAGGUGCUGGGGGCUGAGGCCAGUGAGGGACGCGAGGAGGCCAAACCCGUGAGAGGCGUGAAUGCCGGGCACAGGAGUGUAGGCUUCAGUCUGCACCACGGGAAGUCAUGCAGAGGGAAGGGGACGAGGACAGGAUGACUCCAGCCAAGUCCCAAACCCAAGCUCUGGCCCCUGCAGCCGUUGGUGAGGAGUUGCGAAGCGUAAAUGAAGGGACACACUGGCCUUGAUAAUGGCAGAAGGCAACAGGCCCGGUCAGGACAAGUUGCAAGAGCGCCUCGCCCAGAGUCUGCACACGUGAUGUGAUGGCACACAGUACAUAUGUGUCGGGCGUUCUUGUCUACAUGGACAUGACAACAAGAAACACCCAGUAUGUGCACUGUAAUUCUUAUUUUGUAAAUGUUUCUAAGGAAUGCCGAUUGAAAGACAGGUGGGGCAGGGGUUUGGCAAGGUGGUUAAGUCGCUGCUUGGGACACUCACAUCCUCUAUCAGAGUGCCUGGGUUUGAGUCCCACCUCCAAUUCUGCUCCAGCUUCCUGCUAAUGCACACCCUAGGAGGCAGCAGGUGGUGGCUCAGGUCCCUGCCACCCACAUGGGAGACCUUCAUGGAGUUCCCGGCUCCUAGCUUCGGCCUGCCCUAGCUCCAGUGUCGCAGGCAUUUGGAGAGCAAACCAGUAGAUGGAAGAUCUCUCUGUCUCUCCCUUCCUCUCUCCCCCACUCUCUCUCCUUUUCGAAUAAAAUGAAAAUAAAUACAUAAACAUUAAAAAAUAAGCAAAGACAAAUAAAUGGUGUCAUAGCAGAAGGCAGCAGGGGUGCUGUGCCUGGGCCAGACUUGAGACAAGGGGGUUUGAGCAUUUGAAAUGGCUUAACUGGUUCGCGGGAGCACAGUGCUGCUUUCCCGUAAGAUUGUCCAGGCAGAGAGGGGCUGCACACCACGCGCUACUCUGACAGUGUCAUCACUGGGACCAGGUCCUGCCCAGCCCAUCACUUGCUGGGUCAAGGAGCUUUGAAAGCACUUUUAGACAACAGAAGUGUCACUGAUUGGUUUAAAAGGACAUCGAGCUUACGUGUGUUACGUGUGUUGGUGAUCAUGGUGGAGUCAGUUUUGGUUAGGCAAGACAGAAUGCCAUUUAUUUCAAAAUAAAAAUUAAUUAGGAAUGUAAGCCUUCACGUAUUUAAGAUUUUUUUUUGGCAAAGAUUUUAUGUGGAGACUAAAUCUUUUUUUCUUCUUUAACUGUAGUUAAAUAUCACAGAACUUCAGAAUUUCUUGGGAAGUAACUAAUGUGUAAAAUAAAAAAAAAUUGCCAGGAAUGUAUGCUAGCACCUCGGAAAUAACGAAAGAUCUCUUGUGCAGGUAGAUGCCCGGCAGGUCCCCUACACCCUGAGUCCUCGGGUUCGCACAGGCCACGCCUUUGCCUGUGGCGGCCUUUGAGAACACUGUUUUUUUUUGACAGGCAGAGUUAGACAGAGAGAGAGACAGAGACAGAGAGUAAGGUCUUCUUCCUUCCCGUUGGUUCACCCCCCUAAAUGGCCACUAUGGCCAGUGCGCUGCGCCGAUUUGAAGCCAGGAGCCAGGUGCUUCUCCUGGUCUCCCAUGUGGGUGCAGGGCCCAAGGACCUGGGCCAUCCUCCACUGCCCUCCCGGGCCACAGCAGAGAGCUGGACUGGAAGAGGGGCAGCCAGGACAGAAUCCGGCACCCCAACCGGGACUAGAACCUGGGAUGCUGGCACCGCAGGUGGGGGAUUAGCCUAGUGAGCCACAGUGCCAGCCGAGAACACAUUUUCUGUCUUCAUUUUCAGGUUCUAGGGUAGCUACUGCAUGAAUAGGCACGCAGGGUCCCUGCAUCACUUACGUUGUUAUUUGCUGGGAUAAACGUGCAAGUAUCUGCUCUUACUUUUCCUUCCUUUCGAUGUGAAUUUUAAUGUUUACCUUUUUUCUUAGUGUCUGCCGGCUCACAGUUAAGGCUGCACUAGGUCGGGGGCCUCUAGGGCAGGUAGGAAUUUAUUUAACAAAAAUCCGCUUUCUAGUAAGUAAGAAUAUUAUCUGCUACAGAAGAGGCACGCACAGUUAAAUAACCACGUACUGUGUGUGCCCACCAGGAAUUAUUCUAGAUACCAGAGAUAAAAGCCGUGAACAACACGGAACAUUGUUCUGCCUUUCAGAGCGGGCUCUGUGAUGUGGGCCUGGAGGGAGACGGGAAACAAGCAGCAGCUUUUGUUAAGUGCUCACAAGGAAAUGAAAGAGAACUGGAGACUGGGCUGAGGGUUCAUUAAUAUGUAAUGUUAUUAGGAGUGUAAUAAUUCAAGAGGUUGAAUUAUUUAAAUCUAAAAUUCAUCUCUUCAGGUGUACUGGAUUUCCUCUCCGUGCAUGUGUACGUACACACAUGUAUGCACACACACACACACACACACACACAGGAGACUUUGGAAAGUUCAUGGAAAAUAGAAUUAAAAGAUAAAAGUUUUGGCCGGCGCCGCGGCUCACUAGGCUAAUCCUCCGCUUGUGGCGCCAGCACACCGGGUUCUAGUCCCGGUCAGGCGUCGGAUUCUGUCCCGGUUGCCCCUCUUCCAGGCCAGCUCUCUGCUGUGGCCAGGGAGUGCAGUGGAGGAUGGCCCAGGUGCUUGGGCCCUGCACCCCAUGGGAGCCCAGGAAAAGCACCUGGCUCCUGGCUCCUGCCAUCAGAUCAGCGCGGCGGCCAUUGGAGGGUGAACCAACGGCAAAGGAAGACCUUUCUCUCUGUCUCUCUCUCACUGUCCACUCUGCCUGUCAAAAAAAAAAAAAAAAAAAAAGAUAAAAGUUUUUCUAGUGCAAAAAAAUGUGAAGGCCCAGCAUUGUGGUACAUACAGCAUGUUAAGCCGCCACCUGCUGGCUUGGCUCACGUUCCCACCUGCAGCGUGAAGAAGCCGCGUGAUCUCUGGGAAGAUGCAGGAGAGCAAGCCGCCGGGGUGAAUCCUACCCAGAGUCUGCUCUGAAAAGGCUAAAAGACAAGUCCUGAGCAAGCACACCGAUCCAGACCAAGUUAGCCGCGUGCCAGAACACGUUCAACACCCUUACCCCAAUCCAGCGUGAAGUCAUACAGUGAACCUUGUCUGGCAUCCCCCAGAAGUUACCAUAAACGCAGAAAGUGGUGAAGUGAGACUGGGAGUCGGGAUGGGGAUCAGACUGCAGGGGCACAUCCAGAGGUUACAGGUGAGUUAACAGACAAGAAGAGACGAGGUUAAAACCACCGCCACGGAUACAUGCCCUGCGAGCAGGAGUGUGGAGGGAACAUGUACGCGAUCGUGUGGAGGAGAGACACGUAAGGUGAAACGUGAAGUGUUUGUUGGGAAAACUGUACCGGGUUGGGGUGACAGCACGUUAGACGCUGAAGAAGAGACCAGUGAGCUUGAAGCUCUCACCGUAGGAAGUGCCCAGCAUGAGGCAAGAGAAGAAAAGCUACUGAAAAUAAAAACGAGAUAGAGCUGCAGUAAGUCCUGGGGAAAGACCAGGUUGUCUCAAAUUUGUGUGAUAGGCGCGAUUGGUGUGCCAGAGAGAAAAAUGGGCAUAGGAGGAAAGAAAGGCCAAAAUUGGAUGAAAAUAUAAGUCUACGGCCCAAGCCCCCCAAUUCUGUAUGUAGUGUAACUUCUUUCAAAACUGAAAGAAAUGUGAAAACAUUUUUAAAGAUUUAUUUAUUUAUUUGAAAGAAUAAUAUAGAGAGGGACACAGAGAAAGAGAGACAUCUUCCAUUUGCUGCUUUGCUCCCGUAAUGGUCACAGUGUCAGGGCUGAGCUACGCCAAAGCCAGGAACCAGGUGCUCCAUCUGGGUCUCCCUUGAGCGUGCAGCGGCCCAAGCACUUGGGCCAUCUUCUGCUGCUUUCCCAGACCAUAGCAGAGAGCUGAUCAGAAGUGGGGCAGCCGGGACUCGAACCGGCACCCAUAUGGGAUGCUGGCAGUGCUGAUGGCAGCUUAACCUGCUAUGCCACAGCACUGGCCUCAGACAAAUUAAAACUUAUUUCAGGAAAACAAAAGCUAAAAAUGGUUAUCACCAGAAACCAAUAUAGGAGAAAAUAUAACAGAUGGAAAUUUGGAUUUAUAUAAAAUAUAAAUGGUAAAAUGGGGGUAAAUAUAAAGACAUUUUUAUUUCUUUAAAUAAUUGAGUCUUUUCUUUCUUUUCUUUUUAACUUACUUUUUAAGGACAGACACAGAGGUCCUGCAUGGGGAGUUAGUGCACAGUGACUCCUGUUGUUAAUUUAACAAUUUACACUCAUACAUAUGACAUCAGUGACCACCCGAGACUCUGGACAUGAGCUGCCUAGGCUAUCGAAGCCUUUGAGUCCACAGACUCCGACCUUAUUUAGACAAGGCCAUGAGCAAAAUGGAAGUUCUCUCCUCCCUUUAGAGAAAAGCACAUCCUUCUUUGAUGGCCAUUUCUUUCCUCUGGAGUCUCACUCACAGAGAUCCAUCAUGUAGAACAUUUUUUACCACAGUGUCCUGAUUCUAAGGUCAGAAUAUUACUUAAAGUGAUUGUAAUUCUGGCUGGCGCCGCGGCUCACUAGGCUAAUCUCUGCUGUGGCCCGGGAGGGCAGUGGAGGAUGGCCCAAGUCCUUGGGCCCUGCACCCACAUAGAAGACCAGGAGGAAGCACCUGGCUCCUGGCUUCAGAUCGGCACAGCACGCCGGCCGUAGCAGCCAUUUGGGUGGUGAGCCAAUGGAAGGAAGACCUUUCUCUCUGUCUCUCUCUCACUGUCCACUCUGCCUGUCAAAAAAAAAAGUGAUUUUCAUUCUGUGAAUCUGCUGUGUGACUGUUUCCCAUUGUUGGAACACUCUCUCCUUUUUAAUUCUAUUAUUAUUACCAGACACUUGAUCCUAUUUAUGUGAUGACUUUAACACUUAAUCCUAUCUAUAUGUUCCCUUUAACACUUAAUAUGAUCACUUUAACACUUAAGAUGGCAUUUUUACCACCCAGCUUAAUGGGAUUUGGAGUCCUAUGACGAGCUUUUAAAUUGUACCCUUGGGAGUAAGUCCAUAGGAAUGUGUGCAUAACUAUAUAGCUUUGCAGUUAAAAACUUCCUCCUCCCUCUAAAGAAUUGAGUCUUUAAAGGCAGAUUAAUAAUGGGUGACUGAGGCAUCAAGGACAAGAGAAAGAAAACUAAGAUUCUCAUGGUGUUUAUUCCAGGAUGCAAGGUCAGUUCAUCAUCCAAAAUUCAAAUCCAUGUCAUUCACCAUAUAUGUAGACUAAAAAAAAGAUCAUGCGGUCAUCUCCACAGGUGUUACAAAAAGCAGUGAUAAGUUAAGCACUCAGGAAAUGAGGCAUAGAAGAAGCUUCCUAACUUGGUAAAGGGAGUGCAUGAGAAGUUUAUAAUCACAUUCACUGAUAAAAGACUGAAUGCUCUCCUCCCCUUACACUGUGAACAAGGAAGGAGUGUGUGCUUCCACAAGGGCUGUUUAACAAGGACUCAGCAGUAUCAUCCAGCAAGGAAAAAAAAAUUGCAUACUCUUUGGACGAAGGGGAAAAACAAACAUUUUAAUUCACAACAGUAUGAUUAUCCAUGUAGAAGAUCUACCAACAACAACAAAAAACCCAGCUACUCAUUCUAAUAAGUGAGUUUAGCAGGUCUAUGGGAUAUAAAACCAAUAUACAGAAACCAGUAGUAGUUGAGAAUGGAGAGUUUGAAAACCAAGCAUUUAAGAUGCUGUUAGAGGCCGGCGCCGCGGCUCAAUAGGCUAAUCCUCCACCUUGCGGCGCCGGCACACCGGGUUCUAGUCCCGGUCGGGGCUCCAGAUUCUGUCCCGGUUGCCCCUCUUCCAGGCCAGCUCUCUGCUGUGGCCAGGGAGUGCAGUGCAGGAUGGCCCAAGUGCUUGGGCCCUGCAUCUACAUGGGAGACCAGGAGAAGUACCUGGCUCCUGCCAUCAGAUCAGUGCGCCAGCCGCAGCACACCAGCCGCAGCGGCCAUUGGAGGGUGAACCAACGGCAAAAGGAAGACCUUUCUCUCUGUCUCUCUCACUGUCCACUGUGCCUGUCCAAAAAAAAAAAAAAGAUGCUGUUAGAAACAGUUGAGGAUAAGGAUAGGAAAGCACGUGCAGCACUGCAUGCUGAAAACUGAGAAACAGUGCAGAGGUGAGAGAGCGAGGAGGCUGUGCCCACACAGGGGACCUGAAUUGGGUUCCUGCUGCCAUUGAGGGCACCUGGGGAAUGAGCCAGCAGUGGUAGCUUACUUCCUCCAUCUGUCUCUGUCUGUCUGUCUCUCUGUGUUUCAAAUAAAUAAAUGAAUAAAAUUUUGAAUAGCAAGAUAUACCAUGUUCAUGAAUUAGAGAACUUUAUAUUAUUGAAUAUCAUUUUUCCAAAAAUUGACCUAGAUUCAGCAUAAUCGCAAUCAAAUUCCCAUACUGCUUUUUUGGUGGCAAAAAAAAAAAGUCAAAUGCAUAUUUAUCACAUGACACAGCAAUCCUUGUGUAGAUAUUCCCAAAAGGAAUGAAAAUAUUCAGAGCUGCAUUUGAGAUAACCAAAAAUGGAGGGAAAAAAACUUAGUAGCCACCAACUGAUGAAUGGGUAAACAAAUUAUAGUAAGAGUAUAUCCACAAAAGAAAAGAGUAACCAGUAGCUACCAAGAUAUGCAGUAAAACAGGUAAAUCUCAAAAAAUGUUGGCAAUUUAAAGAUUCCCAAUGCCUACAUGUUUCCAUCUACAUGGAAUUUUAGAGAGUGCAGGUGUAGUAAGGUUUCCUGGAAGGGUGAGGCGGGGUGGGGCGGGGCCUGCCUGGGGAGGCGGAGCUCAUCAGCACAGCUUGAUGCUGGCGGCCUGAUGGUUUAGAGUCAUCAAAACUCAUCAAGUCUGUACCCUCGAAAUUGGUGAGUCCUGGUCAGUGUAUGUUGUGCCUCAGUACAACUGACUCUAAAAACAUAGGAACAAACUUCUGUAAAGCUCUGGCAGUACAUGGUACCGUGGGGCACGCUGAGAAGCAGGAGUGACAAAGGCAGAAUCACUUAACUGUGCUUCUGCCCAUGCCAUCUGUGGAUUACGAAGUUCUGUUGAGACGUCACAGUGAACGCAGAUGGGAAAAUCUGUGGUCACAGAAGUGGAGCCAGGGGAAGCAAUUUCAGGCCGCAGAUUUUGAAGACAAUCAGAGGAUGAGAGGUGUUUCGGGGGCAGCUGUCUCCGGAUAUUCCAAGGACUCUAGUGUGGGGCGGGAUCGGGAUUUGUUUUUUUCUUCCUGAGAUGUUCUGGCUACACGGAAAUAAGUUUCUGCCCAGCACAAAGCAUCUCAGAUGGUUCAGGUUUGGGAAUGGUUGUGAAUGGGUGUCAUUGCAAGGCUGGCAUACAGACAGAAACUUCUGAAGAGUGAGCUCAAUUCAGCUCAUGGUGAUACUUGUUCAUUGUGUCCUGUGAGUCUACAGAGGCAGAUGUAUCGGCUUCUGCUCCCUUCUCCGCCCCGCAUCCCUGCCCUCGCUCUCAGCUUUGGUCACUGCUCCUGUUGGUGACUCAUUCUCACGAACGCGACUUUGCCCGUGGCCUCCUUCCCUGGGUUAUCCUAGGUGCCUUCCGUUCAUUCCAGUGGUGGAAACAGGAUUUGAUCAGUGUCUGGACCUCAGUGCCAAUCCUGCGACCUCACGGGAGGAUUUGAAAAGUUCACGUAAAUCCCGUCUCCCAGAGCUGGAACAAAGCAAUGAGGAAAGUGUGCCAUGCAAUGUGGACUUGCGCACUCCCGCUGGCUUUACAGAAUGGGGAUAGCACGACCUGCCGCCUGGUUGUCCAGAUCAAAUGAUUAAGUAAAAUGAUACACGAAAAUCUCGUACCUUUGAAAAGUACUAUUCACACAGAAGCGAUUUCUGGUUUGGUUAGUAAGAUGUGAAUGUUUAUCUUAUUUUAUACAUUUAUUUUGGGCUGCUUCUUAUAUAUAUAGAUAUAUAUUUUUUAACUAGAUUUGUAUUCGGGCAGAGGAUUUCAUGCAUGCGAGUGUUAACUCAUCUGAUGUGACACAUCCAGUGUGCGCGUGCUGACAGGGAGUGCCGACUCCCCCGGAACGCGGCUGAGGCUGUCCUGCUGUGGCGCUCACGUGGCUUAACUCCCAGAGUCGCCUUGCGGGCAGUGUCCCCAGGGCUCGCCGUGUGCUGCAGGCUCCAUCCCCGAAACAGCACAUCCAUUUUAUGCGUUGAAUUUUAUUACAUUUCUGUCUCUAUAAAGUGUUAGAGACAGCGGGCUUAUUGAAAGCAGCGAUUUUCAGGCAGACUCCCAAGGCCGAUGAGCCUGUUCCUUUGCCUUCCUUCAGCUGAGUGCAAGGUUACUAACCCAGCACUGGCCCAGGCCACGUUUCAGCUGCGGUUCUAAGAGUUGGCUCUACACCAUCGCCCAAGGAAUAAGGGUGCUCCACCUGAUGCAGGGACCUUUUCAUCAAUAGCAGCAGUGUGGUUGGUUCAGUCACCCGGAUCUGUACCCCUAGUGUAAUUGGUGUCAGUUCAUCUCUCGCAUUGUUUGGCUGUGUGGAAAUGGACUAUCUACAGAUUUUCAUGUCACACUAUUGUGUUGUUUUUUUUUUACAGUGACCUUUAUCUCCUAUACUUAAUUUCUCCAGAAACAUAAACUAAUCUUUAUAAUGUCAGGUCGGGGAGGGGAUGACUAUAGGGACAGUAUAUUCUGGUGAGGCAUUUACAGCAGGUGUCACCACUUUCCUCCUUUGCUGAUCUUAGUAACCUGCCAGCGGGCUCACGGCUGGCUGGGCCCGAGCCCGCCGCCUUCCCGCCUGCUCAGUCACCCUUCCCAGCUGCAUGGUGUGCCCCAGUGCUGUGGCCACCACCUCCCUAAUUCGUGUGUUAUAAAAUAUCCCUGGUUUCUUUGGGAAAGAUAGCCAGGAGGUAAGGAUGUGGCUAUAGACUGUGCACAGGGGGAGGUGUUUUUGAGUAUGACCCCCUUCUAUGCAUAUUUUUUUAGUGACCUGUUUCACUUGCGAGUUGCUCCUAGGCCCCUGCGUGAAUGCUGAAUGCCAUACAUCAUUUGCUUAGGAUUUCAUGACCUAGCGGUUCAGGAUCCCUUUACCUGGGCUGGCGUCGUGGCACAGUGGGUUGGGCUGCUGCCUGCAACACCGCCAUCCUGCGUUCGAGUCCCAGUGGCUCUGCUUCCCACCCAGCUCCCUGCUAAUGCUCCUGGGAAGGCAGAAGAUGGCCCAGAUACUUUUACUUUAAACAUCUAUUUAUUUAUUUGAAAGUCAGAGCUGCGGAGAGAGGGAGAGGGAGAGACAGACAGAAAGAGAAAGAUGUUGCAUAUGCUGGUUCACUCCCCAGAUGGCUGCACUGCUAGGGCUGGGCCAGGCUGAAGCCAGGAGCCAGGAGCCAGGAGCUUCUUCAGGUCUCACAUGUGAGUGGCAGGGGCCCAGGUACUUGGGCCGUCUUUGGCUGCUUUUCCCAGGCCAUAGCAGGGAGCUGUGCCGUCUUCCACUGCCUUCAGGCUGCAUUAGCAGGGAGCUGGAUCAGAAGUGGAGCAGCCAGGACUUGAACAGGCAUUCAUAGGGGAUGCUGGCAUCACAGACAGUAGCUUAACCUGCUGUGCCACAAUGUUGGCCCCCCAAAAGGUAACUGUUAAACAAAAAACUUUGUCGUUCAAAGAGCCUGAAACAUUGGUAAGAAAUUUAGGUUGUAAGAAUUGCUUUUAAAAUCUUAAGCCUCAUUCAUAUUAAUAGAAAUACCAACCAAAGGCACAAUGAAAUCAUUUUCACAUUUUAGAAUGUAAUUCCUUAUGUUGGUGACCAGUGAGGGAAACAUGGCCUCGUAUAUUUCUGGUGAGAAAUACUUUGACAGUAAUUUUUAAUAUUAAAAAUACAUAUAAAAUACACUGUUUGAUCCAUAUGUUUUAUUUCUAGGAAUUUAUCCUAUAGAUACAUUUUCCUAUAUGGAAAAUUAAUAACUGAAUAUUUAUUACAACAUUACUUGUAAAAAUUUUUUUAAAUUAAUCUCUAUUAAAAAGAGAUAUAUUGGUGUCCAGUGUCAUGGUGUAGUGGAUUAAGCUGCUGCCUGCAAUGCUGGCAUCCCACUUGGGUUCCAGUUUGUGUCCUACUUCUGAUCCAGCUCCCUACUAAUGGCCUGGGAAAACUAGUAAAAGAUGGCCCAAGUGCUUAGGCCCCUGCUACCCACAUGGGAGACUCAGAAGAAAUUCUAGGCUCCUGGCUUCAGAUUGGCCCAGCUCCAGCCGUUGAGGCCAUCUGGGAAGUGAACCAGCUAAUUCAAGAUUCUCUCUCUCUCUCUCUCUCUUUCUCUCUCUGUCUCUCUCACUCUCUCUCUUCUGUAGCUCUGACUUUCAAAUAAAUAAAUUUUAAAAUAAAUUAAUAGGGAUGUAUUAAAUAAACCAGGUUACAUUUGGGUAUUUAAAGAGAGACUAUGACAUUGACCAUUCUACAGGUUACUGUGUAAUAAAAGAAGCAGACAACAGAAUACUGUGUGUAACACACUAUCAUUUCUUACAUAUAUAAUCUGCUAGUAUCAGCACAGAAUUUUCUCUGGGAGGAUGCACAAAACAGCAAUAGUGCCUCUGUGAUAAAGACUAGAAUUGGAAGGGACCUACGGUUCUGUGAUAAUAUUUGAUACUUCAUGCAAAAGUUACCUUGCUAACAAUACUGUUUCUCCUACAAAUUGAUCAGAACCUAGAGGACCCCGAAAAUGAAGUACUAAAGUAUCUGAGAUUCUGAAUGCUGUAGCAAUCACAGUGAUGGACUGUAAAAAUAGGGGUGGACGCUGGACUCCGAGCACUUGACAGGUGGCAUCCUGAGUCCUGCAACAUUGCUGGGUGGCUGUAGUACUUUACAGGUUAUGAACUGGAUUCAGCAUGUGGCCCGGAGACACACAGCUGAUACGGAACAUUAUGGAAUGAAAUUGAGGAGUAACACCCAGUACAUCCAAGCUCCCACCAUUUAGGAAAGACAGCCACUUUCUUACACUCAAUUUUGUGUAUUAGAAUCAAAAUCCAUAUGAUUCCAGCAGAUUCAACACCUUGAAAUACCACUACCUUUUUGAGGAUACAUGUGUUCAUGGUUGUGUAUAACCGAGAUGUGGACUUACUGGCCUGGUUAUAUUCCAUAAAGAAAAAUGAGAUUCUUCGUGGAUAGAGAAACCUUAAAUAUGGCCCAAGUCUUAAAAAAUAAAGCCCAAGUUCACGGAGGGAAAGUUGAGCCCACCUCCCCUUACAUCUUUUAAUUGAGGACUUCUGCUUUUAUCACCAUAAAUAAAUGGGGCUUUGUGUUUUGUUUGGAGCAAGUGUAAAUUUUAGUCUUUUGAUUGCUUGGUAGUCAAGGGAUUGUUUUGACAGCUGAGAAAUUGGCCUACAUAUUAGAAUAGUUAUGUGGAGGUCUUUGGGUAUCUUAGUAUAAAAUCUAUUUAUGUCAGAUUCAGUUUAUAGCAUCUGGAGCUUUGCCUGCCCAUGCCAACAAAUUGGGACUUGCUUUUGCCACUGAGUCACUGGAACACACAGAAUGCUCCAGGCGCCUGUGUACUUCUGCCCCAUUGCUCUUUAGAAACAAGGCAUCCUUGUUUGGUCCAGUAAACGCAUUUCUGGAAGAGCAGUAGGUAAAAGGAGUUAUGAACAAAAACUUUAGUUUUUCAACUCAUUCAUUUGAAAGGUGCUUUUUGAAUUUAUGAUUCAUAUUUAUUAGAGUUCACUCUUUCAAUGGACUUGGCUUUCUGGGGUGAGCAGCUCAUAUAUAUGCCAGCACAUAAAUGUUAGAGGAGUUAAUGUGGUAUGUGACAACGGACAGAUUCACAUGUAGCUUUUAAAGCCUUGUUGACUAAUUAAAUAGUGCCCUAUAAAGUUUACCCACCAUUGUUCUUAUGUGAGACUAUAGUUAGGUCUCUCUCUGUCUGUCUGUCUCUCUCUCUCCCCCUCCCUCCCUCCCCCUCCCUCUCUCCCUCCCUCUCUCUGUCCUUCUCUCUCCCUCUUUCCCCCUCCCUGCUCCCAGCCUACCCCCUUGGUUUUAAGGCCUACAAUGAGAAAUCCUGUGAAUGUUUUAAUUUUCAUGGAAACACUUGGAAUGUCCCAAGAAUUUUAUAUCUCAUGUCUUCUCAUUUCAUAAAACGUUCAAAAGCAAAUGGCCCUGGUGUUUUGAAGACUGAGUUUGCUUGGGGUCACAUUGCCCACCCCUUCCAGAGGCCUUCUGCAGUGGCUGGCGGCCGAUGCCUGCCGCGCGUGUUCAGAGCAGCGCCCUGCACUGUGGGAUGGGACGUGGGACGCGUUCAGGACCUUGCCUGCUCCUCAUCCUCUCACAGUGUUGGGAGCUGCCCCACAGCGCCCGUGUGAGAUGUCUCCAGGGUCUGCGUCAGAGUGUGCCUUUUCUAAGCUGAGACCAGAAGAACUUUGAUUAAAAAUAGACGGGUUGUCAUUUUUGGCAGCUAGCGCAGCGUGUGCGGUUAGCAUUGUGAGCGUGUUUUCAUCUGUAGACAUGUGUCUGACUCACAGCAUUCCUGUGUAGGAAAACUGCACUUCCCCCCUGGUCCUCCUAAGACAUGAGCCACACCAUUAAAAGGGGAGAUCGAAAGUUCCAAAAUGCAAUGCAGCAAUCCACAGACACUUGAAGGCAAACGCUUCACGUGUUCAGCACUUUGAGAUAAACCAGGUGGAUGCAGAAGUUGUUGAAUCUCUCUGCUGUAAGUCAGCAGUGACCUUUCUGAGGACACGAGCCCAGCACCAGUGCGGACGGCAAAACCAAGGCACGGAGCCCUUCCCAGAGUUCACGACCAGCAGGCAGUGGAGAGGGAGUUCAGCCUGGUUUGCACUUUUAGCCCCACCAUACACUGCCCAGUUGGAAAGUUAACAUGAGGCAGAAGUUCUCGCCCUCAAAGAGCUUUUCAUGUACCUGGGAGUGGUGGCAUUCCUGGGACAGAGCUCCACAAACCAAAGCUCAUGGUCUCGUCUCGAUCUCCAGCCAUCCCCUUUGUCAGCUCUCCCACUUCAGAUUGUCUCUCGUAACCGGUGCCACCAAAAUCCAGCUUCUCCGUAAUUAGGAGUGACCCAGGUUAGAAAUGGGCUCCUUUCAGAUGUUCUGUCCCUGCCUGCCAUCUCUGCUUGCCCACUGCGGGACCUUGACUUGGCCGGCCCCAGCAUAUGGUUCGUUCUCGGCCAAGGGUUGCCACAUAGUUCUGUAAGCCAGUCCGGGGCAGGUGCAGGAGUGACAACUGCCAAGGUCCAAGUCAUUGCUUCUAAAAUCGGCUCAUCUUUGGGUUUAUCAGGAAGUAGAAGUUCUGUUGAUUUCGAUGAAAUCCAGGUUAGUAUUCUGUGACUUUCUUAUCAUAGCCAUAGUUUGGGCACUUGUUUGAAAUAUGGGUCCUUGAAAAGAUAGACUGUCGUGGAGUGGAUUUGUGCGGUAUAAAUUGUGAAGUCCUGCAGCCACCUCCUCUGUCUAGAAACAGUGCUCAUCCAUAUUUUAACACACACAUUGACAAGGGUGGCAGAAACCUCGUCUUCCCAGUAGCAGUCUGAACCCGACUGAUGGAGGAUUUAUUGCCUAAUUAUACUUGUCAUCUUGACAUAAACGUUAUUCGUUCUGGAAAAACGUGUUUGUCAUACCAGGACUGUCUAAUGAAUACAGUCAAUAUCCGGUGUAUAUUUAAAGCCAAGCAGAACAGUCAUCCCCAGAGUGGGUGUUGUGGACACCAGGGAGCUGAUGGUACCGCCUGGGGCCGUGCGGCAGUGCGCUCAGUCCAGGUGUGCAGUGCAGGGAGCAAGGAAGAUGCCAGGCUGUGCCCCACCAUGCUGCUCACAUGGACUCCCUCUGUCAGUGGAUUAUAAGGGUGAUAACCAGAGAAUCAGGGAGGAGGAGGAAUUGGGACAGAGCUGGGAUUCAAGCCCGCCCCAUGUGCUGUUUGCUCAGCGUUGGAAGCUACCAGCCAGUUGGAGCUGUGCAGCACCCACGGGUGCUCUUGCCCUCCUACCUAGAGUGCAGGUCGGGCUGGAGCUCGGGAUUCACUGGGCAGCCACACAGGGCAGCCGUCUGGGCACCGGGCAGCCACACAGGGCAGCUAGCUGGGCACCGGGCAGCCACACAGGGCAGCCAGCUGGGCACAGCUAUUUUCCUUCUGCUCAAGGUCCCAGCGUGUGCUGGAUUAUCAGUGCCUGUUGCACUGAGGCCACACAGCGGCAGGUGCAAGUGCCAGUGACCUCAUGGGGCAGCUGGCUGAUCCGUGCCCACAUGAGCCCGACUCCCACUAGGACCCACCGCGCCUGUGCCAGCCCCACUGAGUGCACUGUUGUCAGGCCCGUGAAACCCGCCCGCAGUUCUUCCCAGGCGGUCACAAGUCCCAGCGUUCCUUGAUCUGGACACACAUGUGUGUAUUCUGCCAUAAACAUAAAUCUCACAAGUUGGUUUUGAACAAAAACAAAAACAAAAAAGUGUAAGCUAUGGGUCCCACUCCGACCUACCCCAAAAGAGUUGCAUUACGGUGCUUCUGUGACCAGUGAAAAUGUGUUCCAGCAGCACGGAGUGUCCUGGGGCCCUGAGGCCCUGGCGUGCAGUGAGCAGAACUGCGGUGAGAGGCCACUGUUAUUCUUCUGAUUUCCACACGUCCUUUCUGCAGCAUUUAUUUAUUGAAAUCACCCGAUGGGCUCCGAAGCAUUAAAUCGCAGAUUCGAGUCAAUAGUGAAGCGGACUGAAAACGACUCUGCCUGCAGUGCACACGCUGAUGGGCGGGGCAGCCCCUCCGUGGCCUGCGCCGCCUCUGUGAAGAGGGCCGAGUUGUGUGUGGAGGCCUCACAAGGUCGGCGACAGCGCAAGCCUGCGACAUUCAUGGUGGAGCCUGAGAGACAAGGGGGUCCGUGGCUCCCCAGUCGAGCGUUCAGCUUAUCUCCUAGGACCGCCCACGUAGGGCAAGCUGUUAGGACACCUCGGACUCUUCCCCAGAGAGCAGCUGGUGGGAGCAGGAGCAGGGCGAGGCGCUCAGCCCCCUGAGCUCUUCUUCCUGGUGUCUGCUGGCCCCCGGACGCUGACUGCUGUGACAGCGUGGGAGACCACCGCACACAGGCGCAGGGGUGCGGGGCUGCAGGAUGCAGAGCCCUUGGGAGCAGCCUGUCAACCACAAUGCGGGGGCGGAACCAAUUGCACCUCCUUGCGCUGUGCUGGGCGGGCGCUUUCCAAAGCCACGUUUGUUUCAUUCCCCCUGACUGCUGGGUGGCCUGGCAGCCGAGUCAGCAUCCCAGCUGUCUAGACGAGGGGGCUUAUUAAACUCUUGAGUCAUUGGGUUCUCAGAAAGACUCAGUGAUAGAAAAAUGAGGUGUAGUUUUGACAAGAAAGAAUUUCAUUGCAUUGCACUUGAAGCUCGGAUGCACACGCACACAAAUACCCCAUUCCCUUAAAUGGCUUGGGUCUGGUGUGGUGAGGCCCCACCCUGGGCGUCCGUAACGCGUGCCGCUGGCCAAAGUCCGCUUCGCUUUCUAGCAUAAGCAGUUAUUUUCUUCUGCUCUCCUAAUCUCCCCCUCUAUUCCUGCUGCAAACACGCAAGGACUAAAAAAUGUCCCUGUGACAUAUGGUGGCUUUUGCCUCCUCCGGUGACUCUGAAAGCCUUACAGUGUCCUAGUGCGCACUCAUCUGCAAGUGUUCAUUUCAAAUAGCAACAGUAAAUUGUCUUCCAGCAGACUGAAAUUAUCGCAAUAAAAAUACACGUGUGCUCUAAACUCAGAACUUCUCAGCAUACACUCAGGAGCUGGGCCACCUGCUGUAGCAGACACACCUGUCUUGCACACGGGUAUAGAUCACAUGCCCACACCAGGGCCAGUAGUGCCCAACAUGAGAGGAAAAGCAACCCCGGCACCUGCAAGCCUGCAAACAGAUCGUUAGACUUGUCUGUUGUUGUGUAGCACACGACCCCAAGUUAGCGACUUCCCAGAAACCAUCGUUUUGUGGCUCAUGGGGUUGGGAAAGGCACUGCUGGGCAGCGUGUCGACAAUCCACAGGAGGCACGCUGGGGCCACUGCAGAGCAGCUGCUGGCCCACGUGCCCUUGGGCCUCCCUCUCCCCUGGGGUGGUGCCUGCUCCAGGGUCUCUGCACGUGGCUCGGGCUUGCCCGGCUGAGAACCACAGAAAUCCGGGUGGCACUGCUGAGUGCGUCUCAGGGACCCAGCAGCUGAGGAAGGCCACCCGCGUCCCAGGGGAGACGGAUCCACUCGUAGCUCGGGAUUGUCAGAGCAGAAGGCCAGGGCUGUUAGGGACCACGAUGAAAUGCCUCUGGGGAACAAAGCACUUGCGUGAGCUCAGCGUGUCCUGCAGCUGCUUUGUAUUUCAGGAGAGAAAACAAGACCACGUCAGCAUUGUUUGCUCUGCUCUGAUUUUUGCCUCAGUGCUUAUGGUGAAACCAGCAAGUGUCGCCGGGCCCCCUGCUGGGUGAUGAGGAGGGUAAUGAUGGGAACUGGGAGGAGGCCUGGGGAUGCGGCCGUGCCGCUGGGCUAUGGAGGAAGCCCUCUGUGCUUGGGUCAGACCGCAGAGGGAUGCUUUAGACGGCAGGGCCCCAGAUGCUGCACCCGUGGGAGCCCUCGACCCUUACUUCUCCCCCAGACGCCUGGGGACACGCGGUCCCCGGGCUGGCUCAGCAUCUCAGACAUGGCAGUGCCCCCCAGGGACCCCUCUGGGAGUCUGCGGCCUCCCUGUCAGCUUGCAAGGCAGCCACCCCAGUGCAAGCCGCACGUCGUCUUUGUGACCACCGAGGGACCGGGAGGGCUGGCACCAGUGUGGUCGGGCCAGCCAGCGGGCUCGCUUUGCAGCGUGUGGAGCGUGGAUGAAAUCGUACUGAUAAUAAGGUGGGUUUUCAGCCGCCCUUUGCCUGUCACCGUGGGGCUGAGCGCUACCCCACAGCUUCCUAACAAAGCGGGAUGUGACGCCUGCACUUCUGUAACUUGUGGCGCCUGCGCAUAGGUUCUCAGGGCUUAGAAGAGGAGAACUCCCCAGCCCUGGUGGCCGGCCUUUGUCUCACACCCUGGAGAUGGAGACCCGGGAGUCCCGACAUCUCGUCUUUGGUUCUGACUUGAACCGGGACGAUGCGUUCCAACUGCCCUGCUUCCUGAGUAGUAGAGCGCAGCCAGCGAGCCGGGCCUGGCGGGCAGGAAGCUGGGAUCUAAGCGAGUCAGGCCCGCAGCUGAGAGGUGAGGGCUGAGCUGAGCUGGGCAGGGGCGAGGGCGAGGAAGAGCGGGGGGCGGGGG
This is a non-coding RNA of Oryctolagus cuniculus (rabbit), 47857 nucleotides long. The record is from RefSeq and is a predicted model, not a curated record. Lineage: Eukaryota; Metazoa; Chordata; Mammalia; Lagomorpha; Leporidae.